Molecule: long non-coding RNA, 63892 nt
Filed under: Gossypium raimondii (Peruvian cotton)
Lineage: Eukaryota; Viridiplantae; Streptophyta; Magnoliopsida; Malvales; Malvaceae
Description: long non-coding RNA (GRAI_LNC007809)
Source: RNAcentral
AUUCGAGGAGUUUAAGGCUAAUGCAUUGCCAACUUGUGGUUAUGCCAUGCUUGCUAUUACAUCUUUCGUCGGCAUGGGAGAUAUUGUAACACCAGAAACCUUUAAAUGGGCAGCCAAUGACCCUAAGAUCAUUCAAGCUUCCACAAUUAUUUGUAGGUUUAUGGAUGAUGUUGCUGAACACAAGGUAUAAUAAUAUAUUUAAAUAAUCACAAGAAACCAAACUAUUAACUCAAUAACGAUGGUUUUUGUCACGAUUUGAAACAAUUAAAGUUUAAUGUUUAUAUAUCAAAUGUUUAGCCUUAAAUCGAAGAAUAAGAAAAGAUAUCUAGUUUCAUUUUAAAAAUAUAUAUAGUUUAACAAACGAAUAGAAUUUAGGUUAUAUAGUGAUUGAAUAAUUUUUAUUUUAUUAUGGUUGCAGUUCAAACAUAGGAGAGAAGACGAUUGCUCAGCAAUUGAGUGUUACAUGGAAGAAUAUGGUGUAACAGCACAAGAGGCAUAUGAUGUAUUCAACAAGCAUGUUGAGAGUGCUUGGAAGGAUGUGAAUCAAGAGUUUCUGAAACCAACAGAAAUGCCAACAGAAGUUUUGAAUCGUAGCUUAAACCUUGCAAGGGUGAUGGAUGUACUCUACAGAGAAGGUGAUGGCUACACAUAUGUUGGAAAAGCGGCUAAGGGUGGAAUCACUUCAUUACUCAUUGAACCAAUUGCACUUUGAAAUCGUAUUAAAUUUUCCUCUUCUGUUCCUUAAGGAAUAGUUAUUAAGUUAUAAUUAAUAAUGUUUUAUAAUAUAUAUAUUAUAAAAGAAAUUCUAAAUCAACUGUCUUUGUAUUCAUUUCCCUGUAUUGAUCUAAUAAAGUUCUUUUCAAGCUUUCAUUUGUGAAAAAUCUGCUAUUUUAUAUUUUAUAUUUUAAUUUUCCUUCUUUCGUUGCUAUAGCUUUGAACACAAAAUUUAGAGUAUGAUCCUAUCAUGCUCUUCCUUUUUACCAACAUUGUUGUCACUUUCAAUGAUUUUUCUCUUCUUCGCCAUAACAUUAUCAUCAAGAUUGCAUGUGAUAAAGUUUUGCCAUUCAGAUAGCCUUUUCAAGGCUCGCCACUAGAAGCUCACUUAAAUAGGGAUACUUGUUAAUAAAAUAUGUUUGUUGUCCUUGUUUUUAGGCAUAUAUUUGCUGCACAUCAAGGAUUUAGUGGCUACAGAUCAUGGGUUUAUUUGGUUUAGAUUUUUUUUCCUUAGUUGUUAAGAGUCCUAUUCUGAGUCGUUUGUUGUUAGUGUGCGAUUUCUUGAUUUUUCUAUCAUGUAAUUGCCUAUAUAAUAGGUUCUUGAGGUUGUGAAUAAAUGAGUUGAUCAUCUUAUUUUCCCUUUCCUUUAUUUUUUUCAUCUUGCUGUUAUCUCCUUAGUAAGCUAAUAGUUGUGUCAGAGCCUGGUAAAAGAAGAGUAUUUUCGGUGAGAGAAAAAUGUUUAUGGUCCUCUUAUGGCUUUUGAAAAUUGUUUGCAACUACCUAUUCCACAUUUUGACGGUCACUAUGACCAUUGGAGAUGUUGAUGGAGAACUUAUUAUAGUCCAAGGAGUAUUGGCAAGUCAUUAAGCACGGUAUAGCAACACCAACAGAUGGAGAAAAGCUUACAGAAUACAACAAAAAAGACUUGAAGGGGCUGAAGUUCAAAGAUUUGAAAGCAAAGAAUUACUUAUUUCAAGCUGUUUCGAUCCUAGAAACCAUUCUUUGCAAAGAAACUUUCAAGGAUAUUUGGUACUCCAUUAAGACAAAAUGUCAAGGCUCUUCCAAAGUGAAGCGUGCAUAGCUUCAAGCUCUUUGGAAGGACCUUGAGGUUCUUCGGAUGGAGGAUGGUGAGUCCAUUAUAGACUAUUGUGCAUGAACCAUGGGAAUCAUGAGUAAUAUGUGAUUUCAUGGUGAGAAGAUGAAUGACACAACCAUUGUUAAGAAGAUACUACGGUCCUCAUCACCAAAGUAUGAUUAUGUUGUCUACUCAAUUGAAGAAUCCAAUGACAUUGAUGCACUCACCAUUGAUGAACUCCAGAGUUCCUUGUUGGUCCAUAAAUAGAAGAUGAAUAGAACUUCUACCCCCAAUGGAGCAGGCUUUGAAAGCUUCAACUCAUUCUUUCAAAAGAAGAAAUGGAGGUCAAGGAAAGGGAAGAGACAGAUGAGACAGUUGGAAUAAAAAUAGUGGCAGGUAUGCCAGAUCAGAUGAUAAAGGCAAACAACAAGAUCGACAAUUUGACAAGUCAAAGGUAGAAUGUUUUGGAUGUUAUAAGUUUGGUCAUUAUUGUUUUGAAUGUCGUACUAAUCUAUCAAUGAUAAGGAAAAGGGAGAAAAGUCAAAAUUUUCAUAAAAAGAAGCUAAAACCUUGUUAAUGGCAAUUCAUGACAAGCAAGAGAAGCCACAAAACUCAUGUUUAUGGUAUGUGGAUACAGGCUGUAGCAACCACAUGUGCGGUAAUAAGUUUUCUUUCUCUUAUCUAAAUGAAGACUUUCACAUUAAUGUGCCUUUUGGAGAUAAAUCUAUUGUUGAUGUAGUGGGAAAGGGUGGUAUUAGUAUAAGAACCAAUAAUAGUUUUGUAGAAACAAUGUCCCAUGUUUUCUUUGUGUCUGCUUUGAAAACUUAUUAAGUGCUGGUCAAUUGCAAGGAAAAAGAUAUGUGAUUACGGUAUCAAAAAGUGAUUGUGAAAUUUAUGAUCCUUCUAGAGGUGCUAUUGCAGUGGUUCCAAUGAGUUCCAACAGGUUGUUUCCAUUAGUGAUUGAUUGUUUUCAACCUUGCUUGAUGGCUAAAGUGAAGGACAACACAUGGCUUUGGCAUUUUUGAUGUGGUCAUCUUAAUUUUGAGGGUUUGAAGACUCUUUGGUAGAAAGAGAUGGUCAACGACCUCCCUCAGAUUGUCAUUCAAACCAUGUGUGUGAAGAUUGUGUUGUUAGCAGACAACAUCAUGAACAAUUUCCCAAAAUAAAGUUUUAGAUAGCAAAACAUGUGCAGGAAUUGGUCCAUUUAGAUAUCUGUGGACCAAUAAAACCAUAAUCUAAUGGAGGUAAAAUUUAUUUCUUUACUUUCAUCGAUGAUUAUUUCCAAAAAUUGUGGGUUUACUUUUUGCAGGAGAAAUCGGAAGCAUUUAGUGCAUUUACUAGCUUCAAGGCACUUGUUGAGAAUGAAAUCGGGAAAACCAUUCAAGUUCUUCGCAUUGAUUGUGGUGGAGAAUAUUGUUUCAAGGAAUUUGAAGCAUUUUGUGAGAGCCAUGACAUCUGGAAAAAGCUUACCACUGCAUAUACCUCCCAAAAAAAUAGCGUAUAAGAGAGGAAAAACAGAACCAUACUUAAUAUGGUGAAAAGCAUGCUUGCUAGUGGAAGGGUCUUAAAAUAAUUUUGGGCAAAAGGAGUAAAUUGGAGCAUCCAUGUCUUGAAUAGAAGCCCAACUUUUGCUGUUCAAAACAUGACACCUGAAGAAGCUUGGAGUGGAAGGAGACCAGCUGCAGAUCACUUCAAAAUUUUUGGUUGCAUUGCUUAUGCACAUGUUCCAAAUGUAAAGAGAAAGAAGCUUAAUGUCAAAGGAGAGAAGCGUGUCUUUCUAGGUGUAAGUGAAACAUCUGAAGUGUAUAAAUUGUUUAAUCCUUUAAAGGAGAAAAUUGUGAUUAGCAGGGAUGUAAUUUUUGAUGAGGAGAAUACUUGGAAUUGGGAUGACAAACAACCUUUUCAAACCUUUGUUGGUACUGAAGUUGAAGAUGAAAAGCAGUAGCCUUUAGAUUAGUAGACUCAAGCAACACUUAAGCUUAAGAGUUCACCAAAUAAUACUCUAAUAAGUAGUUGAACCUCAUCCUAGCUAUAUUUGACGGAGACCAGCUUGGAUAGGAGAUUUUUAGGUAAUCAGCGUUGGGCAGACUGAAGAUCCAACCAUCUAUUUUGCUUUAUUUGCGGAUUGUGAUCUAACAACCUUUGAAAGUGCUGUAAAUGAGUCAAAAUGGAGAAAAACAAUGGAUGAAAAAAUUGCAGUAUAGAGAGGAAUGAUACAUACAAGUUCACUAAACUUCCAAAAAGGCACAAGACAAUUAGUGUCAAAUAGGUGUACAAGACAAAGUUGAAGGAGAAUGGAGAAGUUAAUAAGUAUAAGGCACAUUUGUGGCUAAAGGUUAUAAAUAGGAGUUUGGGGUAGAUUACAAAGAAGCCUUUGCUCCUGUUCCAAGGCAUGAUACAAUCAGAUUGGUGAUUUCACUUAUAGUCUAAUACUCUUGGCCUAUCUUCCAACUAGAUAUGAAUUCGACAUUUUUACAUGGUGAGCUCAAAGAACAGGUUUUUAUUGAACAACAUACUGGUUAUGUUAAACAUGAAAGUGAAAAUAAAGUUUAUAAACUAAAAAAAGGCUUUAUAUGGGUUGAAACAAGCCCCACAUGCUUGGUAUAGUCGAAUUGAAGCUUAUUUCUUGAAAGCUGGUUUUCCCAAGUGUCCUUAUGAGUCUACUCUUUUCAUUAAAACUGGUGAUAAAAGGAAAAUACUUAUUGUGAGUUUAUAUGUUGAUGGUUUUAUUUUCAUUGGAAAUUGUAGUUCCAUGUUUAAUGGAUUCAAGAAGUCUGAUGGUUGAGUUUAAAAUGUCAGAUCUUAGUAUGAUGCAUUAUUUUCUAGGCAUAGAAGUAGUGCAAUCAACUAAUGGAAUAUUUUUUUCUCAAAGGAAAUACAUUCAAGAUAUUCUGAGCAAGUUUGACAUGAAGGAUUGCAAUCUAGCAAGCACCACCAUUGAGUUUGGCUUGAAGUUGAGCAAAGAAGGAAAGUAAGUGGACAACACUUUUUAUAAGCAGAUUGUAGGCAAUUUAAUGUACUUGAUUGGUACAAGACCUGACAUAAUAUAUUUUGUGAGUUUGAUCAGUAGGUUUAUGGAGAAUCCUACAGAGAUGCAUUUAUUGGUUACUAAGAGAAUCCUUCGUUACUUGCAAAGAACCAUAUAUUUUGGGUUGUUUUACAAAAAAGGAGAAUUUUAAUAUCUAUUUAGGUUCAUUGACUGUGACUGUAGGAGAUCUAGAUGAUAGAAAAAACACUUCAGUUUAUGUUUUCAUGAUGGGAAUCGGAGUUGUUUCAUGGUCAUCCAAGAGGCAAUCUAUUGUUCCUUUGUCAACAACUGAAGCUGAAUUUGUUGUUGCAACAACCUGUGCUUGUCAAGCUAUUUCGUUGAGAAAAAUCUUGGAGGAGCUGAAAUUCAAGAGAAUGGGAGCUACAAUAAUUUUUUGUGACAACAACUCAGUUAUCGGAUUCUCAAAAAAUCCAGUAUUACAUGGUAGAAGCAAGCAUAUUGAUGUGAAGUACUAUUUUUGAGAGAUCUUAACAAUGAUGGGGUAGUUGAUCUUAAAUGCUGCAAGAGUAAAGAUCAGCUGGAUGACAUAUUCACCAGACCUGGCAAAUUAUUUCCCUUAUUGUGAGUCCUAUUGUGAGCCUUAUUAUGUUAGUGCCUAAUUUCUUGAUUUUUCUGUUAUGUAAUUGCAUAUAUAAUAGGUUUUUGAUGUUGCGAAUAAAUGAACUGAUCAUCUUAUUUUCCCUUUCCUUUAUUUUUUUCAUAUUGCUGUUAUCUCUCUUAGUAAGCUAACAGCACCUUCACCUCUUUAAGCCCUACCAUUAUCAACUUGCCCUUUAGAAUCAGUGCUACAAAGCUCUCCUUUCAAACUCACCAAGAAGCUCCACCAACAAAAUGUCUACACCAUCAACAUCACCUCUCUAGGCAAGCCAAUGACAACACAUUACACCUUGCCCAAAAAUAUUAUCUCAUGGAAGGCCACUUUAUAAUCUCUUGCUCAAUUGCAAUAGAGGGGUGAUCCACCCAAGCACACUUACAUAAAAAUGGAACAAAUAAAAUCAAUUAUAUCAACAACGUAGGCACCACAUUAUCAUAAGCAUGAUGGUGUCAAAUUAUAAUAUAGUAGUUACAAUGGAACACUUACAUAAGUACUCCAAGGAUCAUUCUUCCACAUGGAUUGAUAAAGGAAGUCCAUAACCAAACAAACAAAUUUGGCCAUUACAAAUACAAUGAGGUAAACUUAAAUGAUCUUUGAAUAGUUAGGUGACCAAAGGGUAAACUUACUAGUUGUUGAGUGGCUAUAAGUGUAGUUUACCAAUUCUUUAAUGUUUAAGAUUACUUUUGUUUAAAUCUUACCUUUUUGCUUCAAAAUUAUUGGUGUUCUUGGUUGGUUGAAAAACUAGAGGAAUGGGAGGAAGGAGUGGAAAAGUGGAAAGAAAAUAAAAUUUAAUUGUACUUCGUAGGGAAUAAAAGUGAGAGAAAAGAAAAUAGGAGAGAUAAUCAUUUUUCAUCUUAAUGCAUAGAAAUCAAUCCUUCCAAAUUGGAAAGAUGAGAGGAGAGAAUAUUAUAAAGAUGUGUAUGUUAGUUUAAAAUUAUGCUAUUUUCUUUCAUUUCAUUUUUUAACUCUAUCAAACAAUAGAGGGAAAGAAAAUUACUUUGUUUUUCCACUUUUUCAUUUCUCCUAUCAAACACAACUACGGAAAGAAAAUUUAUGUUUUCCAUCCUUCUAAUUUUCAACCCCUUCAAUAUUCCAUCUUUCCAAUUUUCUUUCCACUCCAACAAGCAAAGCGAAAAUGUCUAGAGACAAAAUUGUUGACUUUUAUAAUUGUUAUAACAAACGUCGAUAAUGACAAUAGCAUGAUCGCAAAGUAUGAAAAAAAUAAGAACACACAGAUUUUACGUGGAAACCCUUUCGGGAAAAAACUACGGACAAAGGAGAAGAAAUUUACUAAUGUUGAAAAACGAAUAAUACAGGAGAAGUUUCGACUACAUCUAUUAAAAAGGUUAAAAAAUCCUAUUAUAAUCAAUAUCAAAUAGAAUAAAUAUAGUUCUUCAACAAGUGACGGGAUUUGGGUCACACAAACUCUAACAAUAAUUAAUGAAUUAAUUUAGUCUUUUACUUCAUAAUACAAUGACCCACAUUGUGAAAUUUCCAUUUCUGUUUUAGAAAAUUUCUAAAAAAAAGUUGUUUAGAAAUAAUCUUCUCAUGAGUUGUAAGUAAAAAAUCCAGUAAUAUUAUUAAAUAUUUAGUAAUAUUACAAGAAAUCUGUAUUCCUAAUAUAAGUAGCUUUGUAAAAGACUUAGUAAUUUACAUUGUAAGAAAUUCAAUAAUUUAUUGAAAAUGUUACAAUGUUGUAGCAAAUUCAGUAUUUUAAGUAGCCCACACUAAAUCUUUUUUAAAAUUACUGAAUUUAUAAUAAUUACUGAAUUACUUACAUGAUUACCAAAAAAAACUUCAACUAUUACUGAAUUCAUUAUGACAUUUUUUAUUUAUCUAAUUUCUUAAGGAAUUCUAUCAGUAAUUCAAUAAUUCUUUAAGAGUUUUAGUAAUUCAGUAUUUUUACGAAAUUUAGUAAUUUACGAAAUUAUGAAAAAUUAGGUAAACAUUAAAAUGUUUUAAGAUAUUCAAUAAUUGAUUUAGGUUAUUCAAUAUAUUUUAAUUUUAAUUUUAGUUUGGCCAUAAUAAGCACUUUUGUUCCUUGGGUUUGUGGGUUUGCUGCAAAUUAGAAAGGUUUCAUCAAUUUUUUAUUUAUUUCUCUAGGUUAUUAGAGUGAAUUCAAUAAUUAAUCCUCCACAUUCAAUAGGUCCAUUAAGGGGUAGAUGCGGACAACGAGUUUUAAAAUUACUCCAUACCCAGGAUAAUAAUUGAACAUUGGGCCACUGGUUAAGAUAGAAGAGACCCUUAACAUCUCAUUUAACUCCUGUGGCUAAAGGGUUCGUUAAUUUUAACAAUAUGUUUUAAGCUUCGUUAUGAGUUAACCCUUCACUCUCCUAGCUACAGAACUAAACUAAAGCAUCAACUUCUAGCUCCCCUUACCAUCAUGCAAUGGUCAUUUCGUGCUUUCAUAAAAUAAAAGUCCAUUUCAAAAGAGAGAAAUCUGAAUAAAAGAUUCAUCAUUAGCAAUAAAAAACAUGAAGAAAUUGAGAAGAAAACAAAAGAAAGAAAAGAGACAUGCCCAUUUCAGAAGGUGGAAAGCCUAAACUUUAGUUUAGAUUUUUAGGGAUUUCUAAGAAGUUUUUUUUUCGAAAAUCAAGCAAAGGAUUGGAUUUGAAAUUUUAGUUUUUUUUUCAUAUAUAUUUUAGUUUUUUUAAAAUUUUUAUAUCAUUUUUAUUUAAAAAUUUUUAGGAACUAUAAAAAAGAAAUAUAUAUAUAUAGUGAUUAGUUCUGCAAUUCAACUUAAAUUUUUCAUCUAACAUAAUUACUUAACAUGUUACGUUAGCUUACUGUUAUUUUAUUAAUGAUAAUUAAUAGCUCAAUAACUAGAUAUUACAAAUCGAUAACGUUAGUGACCAUUUUGUAACAAAUUAAAAUCCAAUGACUAAAAUGUAAUUUAAACCAUAGAUAAAUGAAUAUUUUUAUAAUUUAUCCUAUAUAAUAUUAUAUAUAUGUACCUCAAGAAAAAAAAAUAUCAUACAUAUGCACGCCAAACUAUAUAUAUAUUUAAUGUUAAGUUUCUAAUAUACAAUAUUUAUAAUAUUUAUAAAAAUUAAAUUUUAAGUUUAAAAAUUAUGAAAAAUUUUAAAAAUCUAAAAGUUUCAAACUACACCAACUGACCACAUGCUUGUUGGAAAUACUUAAAUUCAAUGCACAAUAAAAUACUAAAAAGAAAGGAGUUAAUAUAUGUUAACUUUGUUGAUGUGGUAUAUAUGUAAAUUACUAUGUGAAUGAAAUCUCAACAAUUAAAAUUUUUAAAUUUUAGAAAGUUUAACCAAAUAUAUAAAAAAAUAUUUUAAAAUUUAAAAUCAUUUUAAAAAUUUUAAAAAUAUAUUUUAAAAAUUUUAAAAAUUAAUUAAUUGUUAACGUGGCACAUACGUGGAUGCCAUAGUAAUAAAGUUAACAAACAUUAAUUUUUCCAUCCAGUUUGGGAUGAUUUGACAAACAAUGCAAAUUCAAGAGCUAAAAGAGACGAAAAAUUAAAUGAAGAACUAAAAUGACAUUUUAUAAAGUUGAAGGGCUAAAUAAAUUAUUAUGCUUUUUUAAUAACCGUUAUUUCUUUCUUUUUUUUAACAUGCCAAAUUUAAAAUAUGUAUAUUAAAUAUUUAAUUUUAUAUUGUGUGCGAAAUUAAUUGAUUUGGUUUAAUAUAAAUAAAAAUGUAAUACUUAAUUACUCAGUAUUAGAUAAGUUUACUAUCAAUUAGUAAAAAGUAAUUAUAAUAAGUGAAAGUUAUUUUUAGAAUUUAAAGUUUAUCCAAAUGAAUUAUUAAUGCCAUUAGUAGAACUACGAAUGCACAAUAAGGGAAGAAUAUAUCAAUUUUAUUGAUAAAUCUAGACGCCUUUAGUGAAAUUUGCUGAUUCCCUUUGAAUAUUGUUUUUAAAAUUAUGAGUUCCAAAUAUAAAAUUCUAGUAUUGACUGAAUCAUACAACUAUAGAAUUCAAUUUGAAAAAAAUAUGUUAAAUUAAUUGUGAAAAAUACCUUAUUUAAAGAGUCAAGCCGACAUUUUUUUUUUCUUUCUUUUUAUUAUUAUAAAUAUGAAGUAAACAAACACCUGUUAAAUAAUUAUAUUCAUGUUGAAAUUAAAGCGUCCGGUGAAUUUAAAAAUUCUUUUUAGAGGGCCUGAAAAUGAAUUAUAUAUCGUUUCGAUAGUAAAAAAGUAAUUUCAUCAUUUUAAUAGUUUAUAUCUUUAUAAUUUUUAAAGAAUUAAAUCAAAAUUUAUUAUUUUUAGGGUCAAAGUACAAUUUUAUCAUUACUAAUUUGAAAUUUUAUAAAUUAUAAAAAACUUUAAAUAGAAAAUUUUCCAUUUUAAGGGGAACCGAAAUUCCUCUGGCUCCGCCCGACACACAUCACAGUUGCACAUAAUUAAUUAAUAGAUUAAAUCUUAUUACAUGUUUCUCAUUUUUAUUUCUUAUUUCAACGAAUUCAUCGUCACUAAGAUUGACUAAUUUGUCCUUUACAAUGAUCCAAAAGACUUUUCAACACUCUCAGUCUAAGGGGUUCCUCCGGAGUCCGUAUAUUAUGUUUCAAGUCAAUAAUUUUACUGUUUUUUUAUGGAUGCUGAAAAUAUGAUCAAUGUGCCCCUUUUCCCCCCUUAAAUUAUCUCAUUAUGCUGAAAAUUAUGUUAAAUUAAUUGUGAAAAUAUGUUAUUGAAAUAGUCAAGCCUUUUUUUUAAUGCUUUUACUAUUAUAAUGGCAGUACACUUGCAAAUAUAAAUUCAUGUUUAAGGCAAAGAAUUGAAAACAAUUCAUCAUUAGAUAUUUAUGAGUUAAAAGUUGGGUUGAGUCGAGAUCUAGUUUAAAAUAUUUUUCAAGUUUAAGUCUAUUUUCGGGUUAAAAAUUAAUAAAAUAUUAAAAAUAAAUUUUUAAUUGUUAUUUUAUAUAAUUUUAGAAUUAAAUUUUAAUUUUAAAAUAUUUUUUAUUAUUUAAAUUGAAUUCAAGUCAGGCCGGUUCGAACUGCAAAAAUUCUUGUCCAAAUCUGAUCUAAAAACUAAACUCAAUUACCCAAAUUAUUUAAAUUAUUUAUACUAUGUUAAUUAGCAAUUUAAAAAAUUUGUAAAAGUUGAACGUCGACAAUAACAAUAUAGAACGAUUGCAAAGCAAAAGAAAGAAAAAAUAAGAACACGAAGAUUUUACGUGGAAACCCUUUCGGGAAAAAAAGACCAUGGGUAGAGGAAAAAAAAAUUCACUAAUGUCGAAUUCGAAAGAUACAAGAGGAGUUUAGACUACGUCUAUUUAUAGGUUGAAAAAUCUUAUUCUAAUCAAUGUCAAAUUAUUAAAGAGUAGUAAGGUUAAAAAACCUUAUUCUAAUCAAUGUAAAGUAAAAGAAGUAUAGUUUUAUAUGAAUUUUAUUUUAUUUUUAUUUUAACAAGGACUCAAGUCACUCAACUCUAACAAUCUCCACCUUGACAUGAAUUCUCAACGAACAAGUUCUUCACCACGAACUCUUAACGAACAAGUUCUCCACCUAUCCCACGAAACCCUUUAAAGGGUGUUCUUCAACAAUGAAUACCAGUCAAGUCCAAGCAAUACUCAAACUUCUUGGUUAUAGGAAGUGGCUUAGUCAUCAUAUCCGUAGGAUUUUCAUGAGUACUAACUUUGCUCACAACAAUAUCACCACAAGCAAUAAUAUCAUGCACAAAAUCAUACCGAACAUCAAUAUGAUUUGUUCUCUCAUGAAACAUUUGAUCCUUCGUAAAGAAGAUGACACUCUGACUAUCACAAAACACUGUAUUGAUCUGAAGGUCUUUACUGAGUUCACCAAAGAGUCUCUUUAACCAAAUAGUUUUUUUACAAGCCUCGGUAAUCGCCAUGUACUCAGCUUUAGUAGUAGACAAAGCAACUGUAGUUUGCAAAGUAGCUUUCCAACUGAUUGUGCAACCUCCAAUUGUAAAGACAUACCCUAUGAGAGAUCUUCUUUUAUCAAGGUCUCCAGCAAAAUCAGAAUCAACAUAUGUAAUGACUCCAUCCCUAGUUCUUCCAAACUAUAAGCAAACAUUAGUAGUACCUCAUAAGUAUAUGAAAAUCCACUAAACUAUUUUCCAGUAUUCUUUAUUGGGAUUCGCCAUGUAUCUACUAAUUGCACUAACUAUACAUGACAAAUCUGGACAUGAGCAAACCAUAGCAUACAUGAGAGAUCCCAUUGCACUAGAAUACUGAUUGCAAAGACAAAACCGAUGAAAGUCUAAAGUGGGUUGCUAAUAGGGUCCUAAUAGGCUUGGCAUUCUGCAUAUUGAACAUGCAAAGAACUUUUUCAAUGUACCAUUUCUAACUUAGGUACAAUUUACAUGCUUUUCUAUCUCUGAGAAUCUCCAUCUCAAGUAUCUUCUUUACUGCUCCCAAACCCUUUAUCUCAAAUUCUUUAUUAAGUUGGGCUUUGACCUUUCUUAUCUCUUAUUUAUCUUUGGCUGCUAUCAACAUGUCAUCAACAUAGAAGAGUAGAUACACAAAAGAACCAUCACUGUUUUUCUUAAAAUAAAAACAACUGUCAAAGUUGCUUCUUUUGAAAUCAUGAGGAGUCAUAAAAAAAUCGAACCUCUUGUACCACUGCCUUGGUGACUGUUUCAAGCCAUAAAUGGACUUUUUCAACAAGCAAACAUAGUCAUCCUUUUCUGAUACAGUAAAAUCUUCUGGUUAUUGCAUGUAAAUAUCUUCCUCAGAUUCCCCAUGCAAGAACGUUGUAUUUACAUCUAACUACUCAAGCUCCAAAUCAUACAUGGCCACAAUACCAAAUAAGGCUCGAAUCGAAGUAUGUUUCACAACUGGAGAAAACAUAUCUAUGAAGUAUACACUUGAAAUCUGACUAUAACCUUUUGCAAUCAGCCUUGCUUUAUACAUGGGUUCUUCAACUUCAGAGUUCCUUAUUUCUUUUUGAACACCCAUUUACAACGAACAACCUUUUUACCUUUAGGAAAUCUUACUAGAUCCCACGUUCUAUUCUUAUAGAGCGAUUCCACCUCUUCUAGCGUGGCAAUCAUCCAUUUUCUUAAAUCUUCACAAUUAAUUGCCUCAGAAUAAGUAGAUGGCUUUUGAUUUGCAUCUAUAUCUUUAGCCACAUUUAAAGCAUAAGCAACUAGGUCGACCUCAACGUACCUCUUUGGAGGUUUAAUUUCUCUUCUAGGUUUAUUCUUGGUAGUAGAAUAUUGUGGUGAAGAACAACUCUACUCUAAGUUUUUAUACUAACUUAAGUGUUGGAUCACCAGCACCCCUAUGGCGCAGCGAAAAAAAUUAAAAUCGGCGACCCUAACCAUGGAUCCAUGUGUGAAGAACGAAUCGGGGUGAAAAGAUUACGAAAUUACCUAAUAUUUCGAUUAAGAAGAUAGUAACUUCUCGACAAUGUGUAGUCUGAUUUACAGUCAAACCAAGCCGCAAUCUAUCGAGACUCCAACCUCUACGUAAUCCACCCAGUUGACUACGAACGGAAGAAAAUCCCCAAAACAGUUUUGAGAGUUAUAUUUUUUUACGGCUGCUAGACCUUAAAAUAAUGAAAAACGGGAUUCUAAUAUAUCUCUUUUAUUUUUAGGGUUUUUAGGAAUUAAAUAAAUAUAAUAAUAUUUUAAACCGAAAAUUUUAAUUACAUUAAUUAUAAUAUAAUUUCGGUAAACCAUAUAUUUAUUUAAAUUCAUAUGCUAAUCAAAUUCAUGUCCUCAUUAUGCGUACAACAACCUUGUACAUAAUGUGUUGGAAAUUUGAUUACUGAAUUAAAUUAAUUCUAUAAUUAAUUUAAUUCAAGUGACACCCAAAAAUAAAACCAACUAUGGUUUAUUCCGUUCAUUUCAACUAUAGUGUGUGACCUUGUAGGUUCUUGUAACGUUAGCAGUAAUACUAGAACGAUUCCAAUGUUACAAACAAUGAGUGGCAUCUAGCAAUGCAUCAUUCUACCUAAGUCACAAGAGAUCAUGAUUCGACAUAACCUUUUAUGAUUAACCUUUUAUGCAAUAAUCCUUAAGUCCUUUAUCUCUGGAUUGGACACAAGUCAUGGAAUAGUCACACUUGUAUAGUCCAUUCCAUGUUCCUUGAUAUCUUAAGCAGACUACGAUAUACACAUAAGUAUGACAUCUCAUAUCAACUUAUUUGAGCAUGGCCAUGCAUUUCUAGUCUCACUUAAUCAAGUGGCCUAAGAUAUUACUCCCAUUAUGUAGGAGGGACUUAUUCUAUAUCGACCAACCAUAUCCCUCUACAUCGAUUGUGAUAUAUCCAACAUCAGCCUUUAUAGAACAACCAGUUACGGUGUACGUUUAACUGUAUCAAAAUAUAUUACUCACGAUGUUGGGAUUAUGAUGAUCUCAAGUCUGAGGAUCAUAUACAUAUUAAUCACUAUGAGUAAUGUCGUGACAAUUACAUAAUAAUCCAAGAGANNNNNNNNNNNNNNNNNNNNNNNNNNNNNNNNNNNNNNNNNNNNNNNNNNNNNNNNNNNNNNNNNNNNNNNNNNNNNNNNNNNNNNNNNNNNNNNNNNNNAGUCCAAUAUGUUGUUCUCUAACACACAUAUUCAUGCAUCGAUUCUGACAUUCCAUAUCAAUGACAACUCUUUAUCAUCAAUCAACUACAUGUUAGUCUUAAUGCAUUAUCCUUGUCCUAUCCAACAAUAAUACUUGACUAAGGAUCUUUUAAGAAUAAUCAUAUUAUUCUUAGGACAUUAUUAUAAAACAGCUUAUUUAUACACACAGAAAAGAAACUGAAAUAAUAAUGGUAACGCCUUAUAUUAAUAAACAUGAUAAAUCAAGUAUGUUAUUACAAUCAUCUCAUGAUUGGUCUUUGGGCAUACUCUAACAUUAAGAAGUAGACUCUGUUAUAGAUCCUGGAUCAAUCUGAAGCUCCACCUGUUUUUCCUGGUUAUUAUUGGAAGAGUUUUUAAGAGAUAAGUUAGGUAGCAUAGCAGUUUCAUAAAAAAAUAAUAUCUCUGCUAAUCACAACUUUUCUAUUUUCAGGACACAAUAAUUUAUAUCCUUUAACACCAGCCUUAUAACCAAGAAAAAACACAUUUAAUGGAUCUAGGUUCUAAUUUCCCACUAUCAACAUGAGCAUACACAGGACACCCAAAAAUUCUCAAAUUAGAAUAAUCAGUAGGAUUACCAGACCAUACAUUUUGUGGAGUCUUUUUCUCAAUGGCAACGAACAGAGACUGGUUAAUCGAAAAACAUGCAGUACAGGCCACUUCAGCCCAAAAUGACUUCGGUAAACAAGCAUUCGAUAACAUACAUCAAACUUUUUCCAUGAUUAUUCUAUUCAUCCAUUGUGCAAUGCCGUUUUGCUGUGGAGUAUGACGAACUGUCAAGAGUCGCAUGAUUCCUUUUGAUUUGCGCAAUUUAAUAAACUCAUCAAAACAUAAUCCCAUGCCAUUAUCUAUACGGAGGUGUUUUAUCUAUUUUCCUGUCUAGUUAUUGAUCAUAGUUUUCCAAGCCUUAAACACAAAAAACACAUCACUUUUCUGCAAAAAUCAUCAAUGAUUGUUAUCAUAUAAUUAGCGUCACCCUUCGAAGGCACUCUGGAUGUUCCCCAAAGAUCAGAAUGAAUAUAAUCCAGCAUUCUCUUCAUGUUAUGGAUUCCUCUAGUGAAUCAAACUCUCUUUUGCUUCCUAAAAACGCAGUGCUCACAAAACUUUAGUUUGCUAAUGCCUUGUCCAUCAAAAAGUCUUCUUUUGCUUAAUUCUACCAUGCUAUUCUCACUCAUAUGCCCUAGACAUAUAUGUCAAAGUCUAGUAACAUAAUCAUCUAACAAGGAAGAGGAAGCGACGGCUGCAUCACCAGUAACAGUAAAACCUUGCAAAACAUAUAACUUGGCAAUCUUUCUCUGCCCUUUCAUCACAAUGAGGGAAUCCUUACUAAUCUUUAGAACUCCACUUUCAGCUGUGCACUUGUGCCCUUUUGAAUCAAGAGUACUCAACAAAAUCAAAUUCCUCUUCAAUCAUGGUAAAUGUCAUAUUCCACUAAGUGUUCUGAUGACUCUAUCGAACAUUUUAAUUUUGAUCGUGUCAAUACCUGUGAUUUUACAUGAAGCAUUAUUUCUCAUCAAAACAACACUUUCAGACACAAUUUCAUAGGUUGUAGACCAAUCUCGAUUUGGACUCAUAUGGAACGUACAAUCAGAAUCGGGGAUCCCCUCCUCGCUCACUUUAAAUUUGUUGGCAAAAAUAACUAGAAGUUCACCAUCACUGUAGUUUUCUGCUACAUCAGCUUCACCGGAUUGUUCUGGUUGUUUUCCCUUUUGAUUCACAAUCUCCCUUUUGAUCUUGUUUUACAACUUAUAGCACUUAGAUUUAAUGUGCCCUUUCAUCUUGCAAAAGUCACAGGUUUUACCUUUGUUUGAAGAUCUUGAUCUACCCUUAAAUUUGCUGCUAGGAUUUCGCUCUUAUGUCCUCUAACGAUUAUCAUCAGUAUUUUGUUCUUGUCUACCACGAACAGUGAGACCCUUUCCCUGAGAGUCGGAUCCAACUACAGGAUGUUUCAUCUUGUCAUACGAGGCUAAAGGAGCAUAGACUUCAUCAACUGUGAUAGAUUCACAACUAUACAAAAUCGUAUCUCUAAAGGUUGAAUAAGACGGGGUAACGAAUAAAGUAGAAUUAAACCUAAAUCUUCUUUGUCAUACUAAACCUCCAUGGCCUCUAGGUCAGAGAGAAUUUUUUUAAACACAGUUAAGUGUUCGUGUACAGACGCACCUUCCUCCAAAUGAUAAGCAUAAAGACGCUGGUUAUAUGCAACUUGCUAGUUAAGGUUUUCGACAUGUAUAAUUGUUGCAACUUUGCCCGUAAUGCACCGACGAUCUUCUCAUUCAUCACGCCCUGUAGAAUUUCAUUUGACAAAUGGAGAUGUAAUUGUGUUAAAACCUUUCGAUCUUUACGUUUCUUCUCCUCCUCUGUCAAUGUCGAAGGCAUCUUAUCUACCCCUAGCAAGGCAUCCUCUAACUCCAUUUGCGCAAGAACUGGCUGCAUCUUUAUCUGCCAUAGUGCGAACCAGGUGUUGUGAUCUAGUAGUGGAAUAUCAUACUUCAAUGUCGCCAUUACCAUGAUCGAGACAAACAACCCGAAAAGCUCUGAUACCAGUUUGUAAAAGUUGAACGUCGACAAUGACAAUAUAAAACAAUCACAAAUCAAAAGAAAGAAAAAUAAGAGAACACAGAUUUUACGCGGAAACCCUUUCGAGAAAAAAACCACGAGUAGAGGAGAAGAAAAUUCACUAAUGUCAAAUUCGAAUGAUACAAGAGAAAUUUAGACUAUAUCUAUUUAUAGGUUGAAAAACCUUAUUUUAAUCAAUGUCAAAUAGAUGAAGUGUAGUAAGGUUGAAAAACCUUUUUCUAAUUAAUGUAAAAUAAAAGAAGUAUAAUUCUAUAUGGAUUUUACUUUUAUUUUAAUUUACCACUGUAUUUUAUUUUAACAAGGAUUCGAACCACUCAACUCUAUAUAUAUUUAAAAUCAUUCAAAUUUGAAAAAAUAAAUUAAAAUUAAAAAUAUUUUGUUGAAAAUCUGAAAAUUAUUUUUAAAAAGUCCCCCUCAUCUUCUUCAUCUAAAAGAAUGAAGAUUUUCACUGUCAUUUUUUUAUUUACUUAAAACUCUCAGAUCGUAAAAGAUUACUUUUUGUGCAUCCAAAUGAAAAACCCUCAACCAUCCCUUGUAGAAAAGAGAAGACUUGAAGCAAAUGGCACAAAUUCGAUCCGUUUGCGCUUUAAUUUCUAGCGAAAAGUUGGCUAUGUAACAUCAUCAAAACCAACCCUAAUAAAAUUUCUAACAUAGACAUAUUUUUUUAUUUAACUGCGAUUUGUUAUUUAGAAAAUCAUGGUUAUAAUAAAAUUUUAAAAUCAAUUAAAAUUCAUUAAAAUAAUUUUUUAUCUACGAAAUCAAAAUCUAAAUUAGAAAUUAACUGUUAUGCAUGAAGAAGCUUAAUACUAUUUUUGGUCUUUGUACUAUAGUGAAAUUCUUAUUAUGGCCUUUUAUUAUUUUUUGGUCAGAUUGUUUUCUCUAUUUCCAUUUCGUCACUAAGUUCGCCCUUUUAGCAAGUUUCAUUAAAAAUAUUAAAUCCACGAAUGACUUGCUGUGCCACAUUUAAAAAAAUUAAAAAUUUUACUUAAAAAAUUAAAAAUCCAAAAUAUCUCAAAAAUAACAAAAAUUUGAAAACAUAGAAUUUUUUUUUAAAAUAUCCUAAUCUACUUUUGAAAAUUAUAAAAAUUAUUUUUUUACAAAAAAAUUAUUUAAAAAAAUAAGAACUCAUUUAAAUUCCACAAAAAUCAUAAUUUUUUUAAAAGAGUCCCAAAAAUCUUAAAACACAAAAAAAUUAUAAGAUCUUAAUCUAUUUCAAAUUCACUUAAAAUUUAAAAAAUAUAAAAAAACUAAAAUAAAUCAUUAAAAUUCCCCAAAAAAACAUAAUUUUUUUUAAAUCCAGAAAAAUCUUAAAAUUCUGAAAUUUUAAAAAAAAUCAAAAUAUUAAUCUAUUUCAAAUUCACUUAAAAUUUUAAAAAUAUAAAAAACUAAAAAAUAUUAAAAUUCCAAAAAUAUAUAUAUUAAAAAAACACCCCCAAAAAAUCUUAUAACUUUGAAAAUUAUAAAAUAAACUUUUAAAAAAUCUUAAUCUAUUUUUGAAAAUUAUAAAAAAGAAAACCUAAACUUAUAAGUAUGCAGAACUUCAAGAAAAUAAAAAAAUCAUAAAAAUAUAAAAAAUGUUUUUCUUUUUUGAAUUUAGGGUUUUAUAAAAAUAUAGAAUUUUAUGAAAAAUUUUAAGAAUUUUAUGGUAAUUUUUACUUAGGAUUUCCAAAAAAAAAAAAAAUCCCAUAAAUUUCUUCUAAAUUUUAAUAAAAUUCCAAAAUUUUAUAAAAACCUAAAAUUUUCUACAAACCUAAAAUUCCAAAAAGAAACUCAUUUUUUUUAACUUUUUUUCAAAGUUUCGCAUGCUUAUACUUUUUUUUUUCAAAAAAUAUAGUUUUGAAAAAUAUAUUAAGAUUUUUUUAGUUUUUUUAUUACUUUUCUAUGUUUUUAUAAAAGAACCAAAGUGAGAAUUUCAGAUAUUAAGCCAAAAGAUAUUACCUUUUAUUUGAGUUUAUUUAGAGUGAGAUUUCACCGUAUGCAAACAAAAGAGAAUUACAAUACAAAGCAGAUCCUCUCUUUUCCUCCUUUCUUUUUCCGUAGUUUUCUUCUUCUUCUUCUUCUUCUUCUUCUUCCUCUCUUGUAAACUUCUUUUCUUUCUCCUUUACAUGCUUCACUGUUCUCUUCACCUCUCUCUUUUUUCUUCUUACCUUUUUUUGCUUUUCCAUGCAAAAUGAGGCAGGAGGCCAUGCCACCCUUAAAUGUUAAUAACACUGACAAAUAACAUAAUAAUCUAAACUAAAAAAUUAAUAGUCAAAAUCCAAAAUAAAAUCGAGCUAUGAAAGUGUAGCAACAUUCAACUUAGAUUUUUCAAAUUAAACCUAACCCUAGAAUUCAGAUUUAUUGAAAGUGACUUUAAAAUUAAGUUUAGCCCGGAUAAAAAUAAUACCUAUAAUAUAAAUAAUAUUUUUUAAUUAUUUUUUAAUCAAAUUGAUGUUUGAUUAAUGGGUGAUACCGAUACAAAAAAUUUAAAUAGAAACAUAAAUUCUAAUUUAAAUGUUUUAAAAGAAAAUACUAAUUGUUCAAGACUGUAUUUAAUUCAGUUCGUUUUUCUUCGAUUUGUCCUUCUAUUAGAUGAAAAAAAAACUAAUAAAACGACUCGUAAAUUAAUACAUAUUAAUAUUUUUAUUUUUAUCGUGUUAUUGAAAACUAUGGGAUAUUUUACUUUUGAAUUUCAUAUAAAUAUUAAAUGUGCAUAUAAACUCUUCAAGGAUAAUUUAAUUAUUAUUUAAUAAGAAAAUUUUAAGGUAAUAAAAAUUGUAUGUGAGAGAACCCGAUGUGAUGGCUCGAGCUGAUGUGAGUUUCUUUAUUGGCCUAAUAAUAAAUUUAGUCUUCUAAUAUUUACACGUUCUACCCAAGUUUGGAAGUUACUGAUGAUGAUAUGUCCAAGUAAAAAAAAAGGCGAAAAAAAACAAAUUUUCUAUGUUUUGAAAGAUUUCGCAUUUCAUUGUUUCCUCUAUUUGAAUAUUAAGUAUUUGUACAUUUUUUAAAUAAGAAAAACAUGGAAAUAAUUAUUUUGUAAUUGUUUAAAGAAUUGUUAAUUUAUUUAGAGGAAUUGAUUCUUAGAUUAUAUGAUAUUAAUCUAAAAUAUGACACUAAAAUAGUUGGAUUUAAGCCAACUUGAUUUUUUACCAUAUUCAAAAAGGCGAUAUUAAUUUAAAAAGAGCACAAUACAAAUAGUGUUAAAUACUCUUCUUGUUUAGUAUAUUUUGGAGGUACGUUAAAGAAUAUUUAAAAAAAUUUAAAUACUUUCCAAUUUUCUAUUGAAAUUUUUAGAAUUAGAACUAAACUGACAAAUUCUGUGAUGGCUAAAUUUAUUGAUUUUUUUUAGAAUUCGAACUAAAAUGACAAAUUUUGUAAACAUUUAGGGCUAAUUUUGUUGAUUUUGUUUUAGAUUUAGGAUCAAACUGAUAGAAUGUGUAAAUAUUGGAGGCUAAAUUUGUUAUUAGAUCAAUAAAAAGGGCUUACCGAGCUUUUCAUCACUCAUCUAACAACAACUAACGAGAGAGUGACUAAAAUAUUUAAUUUCAAAAAAUUGAGUGGCAAAAUGGAAAAAAAAAUCAAUAGUCAGGUGACCAAAUAGAACCGAAGGCAUAAUUGGUGACUAUUGUUGUAGUUUACCCUUUUAGUAAUUAAAAUUAAUUUCUUUCAAUAAGUUCAAAUAAUAGAAAAUAAUUAUUUGAUAAUUAAAUGAAGAACUACAUUGGUAGUCACUCAACUAUUAGUAUUUUUUUUUGUCAUGCAACUAUGAAACUUUACAAAAAUGGUCAAUAAUUAUUCAACUUUUUUCUAUUUGGUCAACCAACUACCGGCCAUUAAUUUAUACAUUGUGUCAAUUUAGUCUUGAUUCAAAAAAAAUUAACCCUCAACAUUUACACAUUGUGUCAUUUUUUUUUGCAGUUUUACUUUUAUUUGUGACAUUGAGGGUUAAUUUUAAAAGAAUGAGAAAAUAUGAAAAUUAUUAUCUUGGAUUUUGGGUGUUUUCAUUUUUGAUAUAUUUCCGAUUAAAUUUAGUUGAUAGAUUGUUUUUCUUAGCUUAUUAGGUGAAAGGGUCACAAAGAAAAACAAAGAAAAAAUACCAAAUUACAUCAUGUGUAAACACUGAGGGUCACAAUGUAUAAAUGUUGAGUGCUAAAGUUGCUAUUAUGCCAAUUUUAAAAGUUAUACGUCACCUUUUAUUCAAUCAUUCAACGACUAGUGAAAACGAAAAAACCAAAUAGUUGAGUGACCACUUCGUAACUUUUCAUAAUUGGGUGGCUAAAAAAAGAAAAGUACUAAUAGUUGGAUGACUUGAAAUGUAAUUUACCCUUAAAUAAAACAAUGGAUAAUUUGUGAUUGGUGUCCCAAAAUUAUAAAAAAGAAACUAUAUUUGCUAUAAGAAAGGUUAUAUCAACUAGAUAGACUAUAGUGGACAUUAAAUGACGUACCAUAAAAAAUAAAAAGAAAAGAACAAACAACUUCAAAACCUAUAUAUAUAUAUAUAUACAUAUAUAUAUAUAUAUAUUAUUUAAAGGUUGUAUUCUUUUGACUUAAAAAGAAUAAUUGAGGCUAAAGAGAUUGCAAUGAUUUAAGCAUGUUAUUCAUGACUAUAAUGUUUUGGAAAAAUAUAUAAUAUUAUACUUUUUGUAAAAUCAUAAGGAGCGUUAAUGAUUGACAAGUAUCUUAUAAGAAUAUAGUAAAUUUUUUUAAAAAAUACACAUUAUAGUUUUUUAAGACUGUUUGUGAAAUUAAAAAAAAUACACUACUAAUGUACAAAAUACGUAUUGUCGAAACCGUUUUUUGAAAACAAAAAUUUUAGUUUCGACUUAAAAAUAAAAACAAAAACUGGAGUCGCCACCGAUCAUUUAUGAAGGUGUGAUCGGCCCACCUUAAAAAUAAUUUUGGUCUGCGAAAUUCGAGAAAACAGGCUCGGGAGUCAGUUACGCACGAGGAAGGAUUAGCACCCUCGUAACGCCCAAAAUUGGUACCAAAUUGAUUUUUUUUAAUGCCUUGGUGUCGAAAAUUUGAAAAGAUUUUAAAAGGAAACUUUUUAUUUCAUGAAUGGAUUAAAAUAAAAAGACAUUCGUAUUUCAAAGAAAUAAAACACCACACCCAGUGAGUUAGGGCACAAUGUUUUUAAAUCUUCAAAAUACCCGAAUAUUGCCUUUUGCUUUUGAAAAUUCUUAUUUCGAGAAGAAAAUGUCAUGACCAGUAAGUUAGGACCCAACAUUUCGAAUUCCCGAGAAUAAGUUUUUAUUUAAAAUUUGAAUUUAUUGCAAAACAAAUAUUUGGCUUUCUAAACUCAUCGAAAAAUAAUCGCGAUCCAAUAAGUUAGGACACGAUCUUUCACGAGAAUCAUGAAUACCAAAUAUUUUGGAAUUUAUAAAAUAAGAUGAUUUAAAUACUUUGAGAAAACAUAUAUUUUCUUUAAAAGCAAGAUAAAAUGUUAAUAUACAACAUGAUACACAUAUUUUAAUUUAAAUUAUAAAUGUGCAUGUAUUUACAAAAUAUAUAUAAGUGUAAUACACAAGUAAAUUUGAAAAUAUGUGCAUGCGUAUGUUUAACACACAUACACAAAUAUACAUAAAAAACAUGCAUAGCAUAACUUAUAAUAAUCUCCAAAAAUAUGUACGUAUAUUUCAUAAAACAUGCAUAUGUACAAAAAAAUAGAAAAAAAAAAUGCAUAUGCCUUGUAAAAUAUGAGAGUACAUACAUAUAUAUAUAUAUAUAUACAUAUUUAUUUAUAAAAACUAUGUAAACAAAAUAUAUAUAAAAUAUGAGCGUAUAAGGACUUCAAAGGAGAUUGGAUUGGUUACUUCAGUCUGCUCCACUGCAACUUCAGGGAGAUAAGACUUGUAUAUUCGAUCUACUUCACCACCAGUAUGGGAAGACAAGAUCUGUUUUCUUCGAUCUACUUCACGCCAAUACAUGAGGACAAGAUCUGUUUUUUCAAUCGAUUCCACUGCCGACCGGGGAGGUAGAAUUACUGGCUUCAAUAUACUCCGCUGCAACCUCAGGGAGGUAAAAUCCGCCAUCUUCGAUCUGCUCCACUACUGCUUAGGGAGAUAAGAUCUGUAAUCUUCAAUUUGCUCAACUGCAAUGUCGGGGAAACCAGAUCCGCCGUCGUGGCUUCAAUCUAUUCCACCGCACCGUUAGAGAAGUAAGAUUUGCCGUUGUGGCUUCAAUCUUUUUAAUUGCAAUAUCAGGGAAACCAAAUCCGCCGUCGUAGCUUCAAUCUGUUCCACUGCACUGCUAAGGAAGUAAGAUCCGCCGUUGUGGCUUCAAUCUUUUAAAUUGUAAUAUCAGGGAAACUAGAUCCGCCGUCGUAGCUUCAAUCUGUUCCGCUGCACUGCUAAGGAAGUAAAAUCCGCCGUUGUGGCUUCAAUCUUUUUACUUUUCAACCCGCUCCAUUGUUACUCACGGAGACAAGGCUUUAUGAUUUCACCGAUCUGCUCUCUGUGGAACAUGACCUGUAUGACUCACUUUAUGAGCCUAAUUAUGCCUAAUGAUUAGGAUGUCAUGAUCAGAAUGAAUCAAAUGCUCCUAACUAGGCGUGUAUAAAUGACAUUUGAAUAUUAUGUCAUGAAAAAUGAAUAUUGAAUGUGUAAAGUCAUUAUUGCUCAUUAAGGCUUCCUUCGUGGCAACAACGCUUCGUCAAAACUUGAAAAAUUUAAAAUCUCGACUCUUGGCUCCUAGAUAUCUCCGACCUUUUAACCCAGUGAAGGUCUAAACAAUAGUCCUGUUUCAGGUUCCUGAGUUAUUUAAAGAUUUCUAGAGUAAUAUGAAAAACUUCCCUUGUGAAAGUUUUACUAGUCCAUUAAUCGUCAUUCUAAUGCAACAUGCUUGCGAAAAGAUCAUAACGAUAACAUAAACAAAAUUAGUCUGGGAGGAUAGCUCGCAAUGGAUUGUCAAUGAUAGAGGAAUUGUCUGGGGACAUUUAUAUUGAAAAAAAAUGUCAUAAUUUAACAAUGAAUUCAAUACAAAUACUAUGAACAUGUGCCCCAGAUAUCUCUGCUUGAAUUUCUCUAUACAGCUUUCGAAGACCCUUUUGAAUUCAACACGUGUUUAGGAAAUUCACAGUAUUUUGUUGAUGCCCCAAGAUGUCGUCUAUUCCUUUCUGUCGAUUUAGGUACAGCAAGACUACCACGUGACAACCAAAAUUUGAGCCGCCCUUUUUGGGUUUUCAACUCAAAUCCCCUUUGGUCUUAAGGUGCCCUUUGCGGGUUUUCACCUUAGCCUCUCCUUUCCUUUUCUUUUCUUUUCUUUUUUUUUUUUGGAAUCAAAGCGCCCUUUGCGGGUUUUCACCUUGGUUACUUCCCUUCUUCAAGUAAAGUACCUCUUCACCGAAUCUGAAUUUACCGGAUUAGGCAAGUUUUUCCCGUCCAUUUCAGCCAGGAUCAGGGCUCCUCCAGAAAAGGCCUUUUUUACAACAUAAGGACCCUCCCAAUUCGGCAUCCAUUUCCCCUUAAAAUCCUUUUGUAGAGGAAGAAUUUUUCUCAACACCAGGUCCCCCUCGUGAAAUUCUCUGGGUCGGACUUUCUUGUUGUAGGCUCGCAUCAUUCUUUUCUGGUAUAUCUGACCGUGCUGAAUAGCCUUUAGCCUCUUUCCCUCUAUCAAGUUCAACUGAUCGUAUCGAGAUUGAACCCAAUCCGCUUCAUCCAAUUGUAGCUCAGACAAAACCCGGAGAGAAGGGACUUCAACUUCGAUGGGCAACACUGCCUCCAUGCCAUAAACUAAGGAGAAAGGCGUUGCCUCGGUGGAGGUCCUGGUUGACGUUCAAUAAACAAGGAGGGCAAACGGUAAUUUCUCGUGCCAGUCCAUGUAAGUCUCAGUCAACUUCCCUACAAUCUUCUUUAUAUUUUUAUUGGUCGCUUCUACUGCACCAUUCAUUUUCGGGCGAUACGGCGACGAAUUGUGAUGUCUGAUCUUGAAUUGACUGCAGACCUCUGCUAUUGAGCUGUUGUUCAAAUUCAACGUAUUGUCGGAUAUGAUUCUUUCAGGCAUUCCAUACCGACAUAUGAUCUCUCUCUUCAAGAACUUACUGACUGAUGACUUUGUAACAUUAGCAUACGAAGCAGCUUCUACCCAUUUGGUGAAGUAGUUAAUAACCACGAAUAUGAAAUGAUGCCCAUUUGAAGCCUUUGGCGAUAUUGGCCCGAUAACAUCCAUACCCCACAUGGAGAAAGGCCAUGGAGAAGUCAUGACAUGAAGAGGUGAAGGAGGUGCAUGCAUUUUAUCACCAUAGAUUUGACAUUUAUGGAACUUCUUGGAAUAAUUGAUGCAAUCCCCUUCCAUGGUAGACCAGUAGUACCCGAAUCUCAUAAUCUGCCUAGCCAUUGUGAACCCGCUGGCAUGCGUUCCGCAGAUGCCCUCAUGGACUUCUUCUAGAAUUUUCUUUGCUUCUACGGCGUCCACACAUCUUAGCAGUACCUGAUCUUUUCCCCUCUUGUACAAGAUCUCCCCAUCUAAGACGUAGUCAAUGGCUAGUCUUCUCAGAGUUCUCUUUUCAUUCUCCGUUGUCUGGCCAAGAUACUCACGAUUUUUUACAUACCGUAGUAUAUCUUGAUACCAAGGACUAUCAUCGAUUUCCCCUUCUUCAAUAUUGUAACAAUGAGCCGGGUCUUCAUAGAUACUCAUUUGGAUUGGUUUCAUAUCCCCAUUUCUGUUCAGUUUGAUCAUGGAAGCUAAGGUAGCUAGUGCAUCAGCCAUCUGGUUCUCAUCUCGUGGGAGAUAGCAAAAAGUGAUGUCCUCAAACUCCUUAAUCAAUUCGAGGACCAACUUUCGGUAACUGAUUAAUUUGGGAUCUCUCGUUUCCCAUUCACCCCUGAGCUGAUAUAUCACCAAUGCUGAAUCUCCAUAGACCUCUAGCACUUUGAUUCCUCGCUCUAUAGCUGCACGAAUACCCAUGAUGCAUGCUUCAUAUUCUGCCAUGUUAUUUGUACAAUCAAAAUCCAAUUUACAAGUGAAAGGAUAAUGAUCACCAUUUGGGGACACCAGGACUGCCCCAAUUCCAUUGCCUACAGCGUUCGAGGCUCCAUCAAAGUUUAGCUUCCAACUGUGACCUUCUUGGGGACUUUCUUCAGUAGCGGCUACACACAUCAGGUCCUCAUUUAGGAAAUCAAAACUCAACAGCUCGUAGUCCUCCAGAGCUCUACUAGCUAGAAAGUCAGCAAUUGCACUCCCUUUCACAGCCUUUUGGUUCACAUAGACAACAUCAAAUUCAGACAAUAAAAUUUGCCAUCGGGCCAUUCUCCCAUUCAAAGCAGCUGACUCCAUCAUAUACUUUAACGGGUCUAACUUUGAGAUCAGCCAAGUCGUAUGGUAUAACAUGUACUGCCUUAAUCUUCGGGUUGUCCAAAUCAAGGCACAGCAUAAUUUCUCAAAUAGGCGAAUAUCUCAUUUCACAGUCAGUGAAUUUCUUGCUGAGAUAAUAUAUCGCUCUUUCUUUCCUCCCCGUUUCAUCAUGUUGACCUAACACACACCCCAUGGAAUUGUCAAAUACCGUUAGAUACAAUAUCAGAGGCCUAUCCGGGUUAGGUGGUGACAGCACUGGAGUAUUAGACAAAUACUGUUUCACUUUGUUGAAAGCUUCCUCGCAUUCCUCAUCCCAAGUACCAGGAUUAUGUUUCUUCAGAAGACGAAAUAUAGGGUCACAUUUCUCAGUCAGUUGUGAAAUAAACCUAGCGAUGUAAUUCAGUCUUCCUAGGAAACCUCGAACUUCUUUCUGAAUGCGAGGUGAAGGUAAAUCUCGUAUUGCCUUGACUUUGUCUGGGUCAAUCUCGAUUCCCUUUUCACUGACUACAAAGCCUAGCAACUUUCCUGACCUGGCCCCAAAAGUGCACUUCGCUGGAUUAAGCUUGAGUUAGAACUUUCUCAAUCUUAAGAAUAACUUUCUCAAGACCCACACAUGUUCGCCCUCUGUUCUAGAUUUCGCGAUCAUAUCAUCAACAUAAACCUCGAUUUCCCUGUGCAUCAUGUCAUGGAACAAGGCUACCAUGGCUCUUUGGUAUGUCGCUCCUGCAUUCUUCAAUCCAAACGGCAUCACUUUGUAACAGAACGUCCCCCAUAACGUAAUGAAUGUAGUCUUCCUCAUGUCUUCAGGAUGCAUCUUUAUCUGAUUGUACCCAGAAAAACCAUCCAUGAAGGAAAACAGUGAAAAGCCCGCAGUAUUGUCUACCAAUGUGUCAAUGUGAGGCAAUGGGAAAUUAUCCUUUGGACUAGCCUUGUUCAAAUCCCGAUAAUCCACACACAUUCGUACUUUUCCAUCNNNNNNNNNNNNNNNNNNNNNNNNNNNNNNNNNNNNNNNNNNNNNNNNNNNNNNNNNNNNNNNNNNNNNNNNNNNNNNNNNNNNNNNNNNNNNNNNNNNNCUUGCAGAAACCCGGCAUCAAACUGCUUUUGGACCUCCUCCUUUUAUCUUCAACACGAUAUCAGGCCUCAUCCUUCUGAGUUUUUGCUGCACUGGCUUGCAAUCUUCUCUUAUAGGGAGACGAUGGACUACCAUGUCGGUACUCAACCCCGGCAUAUCCUGGUAUGACCAUGCAAACACGUCUUUGAACUCUCGGAGUAAUUCAAUGAGGUCCUGCCUUGUCCUUUCAGAGAUAACCGAUCUGAUCUUCACCUCUUUACCCUCCUCUAAGCUCACGACUUCUAUUGAUUCCCUGUGAGGUAGGAUUUAUUUCUCGGCCCUUUCUACCAUCUUUGACAAGUCAGGAGACAAACCACAGUCUUCGUUGUCUUCAAAAUUAUGCGAUCCCUCUAAACACAUGUUUCGUUCAAAAGGAGACUCUAAAUUUGUAAGAGUGACAUUCGCAUCAUUGAUAUCAUGGGACCUGUUAUAAGUAUGAAAAACAAUAUGGAUUCAGGAAUUUGUUUGGUGCAAUAUGGUCAUGAAUGAAAUGCAAGUGUAGUUUAAGAGAAACUUAAAAUAACUGCUCUUAUGGGAAGAAAGAUUUGCUCCAAAAAUGAUUGCAAACAUGAACUUUAUUAAAAUAACGAUUUUCUGGACAUGAGCCUAUUUCACAAAGGAAUCCUUAUCACUUCUAGGCUAAAAGGCAAUAAGGGUGUUCUGGACAUUACUCUGGGGAAAUCCUAAAAACUACAGGUAUUUCUUCUGCAGUCCAGUUGUUUAGCUCCCUUUCCGACUCGUAAGGACGAAUAUCUGGCAAAGCUCUUCCUCGCGUCACUUCUUCAUACACAACAUGAAUACUCUCUAGCUCCAUGUUAAUACUUCUGACCCCUAGCAUUCUUUGAUAGGUGAAUCCUCCCGGUACAAAAGUCUUGGAUAGGUGAGGAAAGGUCAUGGGUUCCCAUUUGACUUCAUCACCUGUCAAGCGAGCCCUUCUCCGCACUCGCUUAUUUUCCUGCUCUAUCCUCUUCUGCCUAGCAUCUGGCUUGUAUUCUAAGCCAAAACGAUCCUGCUUGUCUUUCAACACUAGAGCCUCAACUCGGCCCUGAAGAUAUCUCCCCAAUCCUCUUCUCGGUAAUGCUCCCUUUCCAACAGUCAACUGCAGACCCAUCUCUGUGGUCCUGGAUAUUCUCGGCAUCGGGAUCUUGUUUCCCUCACGGAUGAAUGUUGCAUUUACAAACUCCAAGGAACGAAAAGAGCAUUCGAUUGGAUCAUCGCUCGUUUCUAGAUAAGUCGCAUCGUUGGUCACAGAUGCAAUGAUAUCUUCUUCAGCAUCUAUCGUCACAACCCUGCCUUCUGACACCAGCUUCAGUUUUUGAUGUAACGAUGACGGUACCGCACCUGCUGAAUGAAUCCAUGGCCUUCCUAAUAGGCAACUGUAAGAAGGCUUGAUGUCCAUAACUAAGAAGUCCACCUCAUAAAUAGUUGGGCCAAUUAACAAGAGAAUGUCAACUCUUCCCAUGACCCUCCUCUCAGUACCAUCGAAUGCUCGAACCACGUUCUGACACGACUUCAUAUGCGAACUAUCCACAGGUAGCCUGUUGAGCGUGGAUAGGGGAAAUACAUUUAAUGCCGAUCCAUUGUCUACCAGAACCCCCGGUAAUAUGCACCCUUUACACCUUGCAAUGAUGUGUAAAGCUCUAGUGGAUCCCAUACCCCCAGGUGGUAUUUCGUCAUCGCUGAAAGAGAUGAAGUUAUCAGCGCUUAUAUUACCGACCAGUCGAUCCAACUUGUUAAUAGAGAUAUCAUCGGCCACAUAAGUUUCAUUUAGCACCUUCAGUAGUGCAUUCUGAUGUCCCUCCGAGUUCAGGAGUAAAGCUAGCACAGAUAUGCGAGCUGGUUGUUUGUGCAGCUGUUCCACAACGCUGUACUCGCUAUGUUUUAUGAACUUCAAGAACUCUCUAGCUUCCUCCUCCUUGAUUGGUUCAUUGACCACCAAUUCAGGUUCGACCGUCUUCUUCUUCUUUCCAAUCAGAGUUUCUUCUCUUAUUGGCUCUACUCGAGCCUUCACCUGUUCGUUAUACCCUCCUUCAUCAUGGUCCUCCUUCCCUGGGAUUGUCACAUUACAAUUGUAAUGCCAAGGAACCCUCCUGUUAUCCUUGUAAGUAAACGCAGUCGGUUUUUGAAUGAUAACCCUUGGUGCUACUCGUGCUCCAGCCUCACUAUUCUUAGGUUGUGAGAUGAUGACCACAGGAUGGUUAACCUUUGGAACUCCCAAUGCCAACUCUGACGUACAUACAUGACUCUCUUUCUGAAUUCCUUCCCAAAAUUCCAUCUCUUUAUUAUCUAUCAUACCCUGUACCACGGCUCUGAACUCCGUACACUCCUGGAUUUCAUGCCCCAUUUCACAGUGGAACUCACAGUAGUUCCUCCUCUUCUCACAGCUUUCUUCUGAAGGAAUUAGCCCCCUUUUCACCAUCUCUUUCCAGACCCAUCUCAAAGGAGUCUUCACGUCCGCAAUGUCUACCUUAAUUCUCAUGUCUUCGUCCAUCAUAUUUACCCCACCAUCAGUGUGAUUUGGUAAUGGGUUCUCUGCCUUGGUGGCUUCAUCAAAUUUAACGACACCCAUACCAAUGAGCCUUUCAACCAGCUUCUUGAAGGCCGUACAGUUUUCUAUGGAGUGCCCCGUGAUUCCCGCAUGAUAGUCGCACUGUGCAUUUGCGUCGUACCAUUUGGGGGACGGGGGCUGUAAGGGCUUCAGAUAGAAAGGGGAAACUACAUGUGCGUCGAAUAAGUUUCGGUAUAAUUCCCUGUACGACAUGGGAAUUGGCGUGAAUUGGGGCCUCUCCGUAUUUCGCCUUGUACCGACCUUCUGUCUCGACAAGCUUUGUUGAUUGGCAGCCGUCUUUCCUGGCUGACUCACUGUUACUGACUUCGAGUAACCCUUGUUGUACAUGCUCACGUUGUUCACCUCGUUUUCCUUCCUUUUCGAAGCUGAUCUUCUGUUACUCUCUCCAGCAUCGAUCUUCCCACUCCUGAUGGUGUUCUCAAUCAUCUCGCCAUUCAUGACUAUGUCAGGAAAGCUUUUUGUGGCACUUCCUAACAUAUGUGUAAUGAACGGUGCCUUCAGGGUGUUAAUGAACAACAUGGUCAUUUCCUUUUCCAAGAGCGGUGGUUGAACUUGGACCGCGACCUCCCUCCAUCUCUGUGCGUACUGCCUAAAGCUUUCGCUCGGCUUCUUCUCCAUGUUUUGAAGGGUGAUCUUAUCAGGAGUCAUGUCUGUCACAUGACUAUAUUGUUUCAUGAAUGCUUGCGCCAAGUCCCUCCAUGAACCAAUCGUAGCUCGACUCAACUGAUUGUACCACUUGGAUGCUGCCCCUGCAAGGCUGUCUUGGAAGUAAUGUAUUAAUAGCUGGUCAUUACUAACGUAUCCAGCCAUUCGCCUGCAGAACAUGGUGAUAUGAGCCUCUGGGCAAGUCGUCCCAUUGUACUUCUCGAAUUCAGGCAUCUUAAACUUAUGAGGGAGAACAAGAUCCCGCACUAAACUCAGCUCUUUUGCGUCAAUGCCUCGAUAGCUUUCAGUAACUUCCAUCGCCUUGAACUUCUCCUCAAGCCACUUGCAUCUCUCUUCCAACUGUCUCGGUAACUCCUCCUUCACUCUUUCCUUCUCAACUACUUCAUCAAAGUCAGGAAUGGCAGAGUUAAUAGGAUUAUUUUCGGGAUUAAAACACGGCCCAGUUUGGAGGUUCGAAACACCAGCUUGAAAUUGCUGAGGCAUGAUUGUGACAGUAGAUUUGCGCGGGUAUUCAUCUUGAGUUCGCUCAUGUGGAGGGGUGAAACCUGGAGGAUAGAAAAGUUCAUCAUCAUUUCCCUCAUCGACAUCUGCCAUGGGGCCCUUUCCUUUGUCACCUCCCUUAGUUAUCAGUCGGGUUAACUUUGCCACUAUAUCCUCUUGAGAUUCCCGCAUCUUCUCAGACAUUUCUUGUUUCAUCUUGUCUAACCGCUCCUGCAUUUGUAGCUGAAUCCAGUCUUGCAUCUCCUUCUGGUACUGUUCGAGCUUUUCUAAUCUCUGAUCCAUAUCUCUUGUCUUUGUUCGAGUGCCGUAUCGGUGUUGGAUUGGUUGGUUGGUUUCCAGGUUAACUGAGCAAUAAUUUUAAUUAAUUAGGAUCAAUUCAAAGUUUUGAAUGCAUAUGAUGCGAUGCAUGAGAUGAAUGCAAGAAAGGCGUUAAUUAUGAUUCAAUUCCACUUGGAAAACUUUAUUAGAAAACAAAUCUCUUUACAUAGAAUAGACUACAAAUACGACUUCGCCCUAAUACUUAAGACCUUGAUUUUUUGAAGCAACGAGGCUAACUCCCGUCCCCGGUCUGACUCCAAUUCAUACUUUACGCUCAACGUGUCAGCUUGUACUGCCAGAGUUUGUAAGUGAUCAGCUACUUCUCGAAUCUGAACCAAGGCUUGUCCCAUAACACGAUCCCUGCUUCUGACCUAAUUCUGGAGAUAGUGAAGCUGUUCGCUUUGAUGAUCUUUGUUUGCCUCCAAAUACUCAAUCCUGGCUUCACAGUUCUGCAAUGCCACCUCUAGUUCUUCUAUAGUUUUCUUCAUUUGCUCGAUUCUACUUAAACUUGCUUGCAGUUCCACCACUGAAUUACGAUUUCGGUAUUGAUGAACAAUCUUCUCAAGUUCGGCCACUCUAGCCCUUAGUUUAUCCCUUUCAUCUUGAUUUUCUGACAAACUCUUCUCAAGCGAUCUAUUUUGCAUCUGGGCUUCUUGGAAUCUUUCUUCCCAUCUGCCAGCCUUGGCUUUUUCUUCUUGAACCUCUUGACGCCACUGCUCUGAGGUUUUUCCCAACCCAGCAGUUCUUACUGACAGACGUAGUCUCUUAUAAUCCGUCUUCAAGCUGUUCAAAUCUUCCUCGACUUUGCGCUUCCCUUUUCUCAGGCCUUCGGUUUCCUGCAUUUGAACAUCUAUGUCCAACUUUAAAUUCACCUUUUCCUCCUCCAUUUUCUCUAUUUUCUUCUCUAAUUCUGCAUUCCUUCUUUCGAGGUCUUAAUUUAUGAUUUCCAGCUCAGAAGGGACGACGCACAAAUGCUCCUCUAUCGACUGACUAUUUUCUGAACUUGGCCCGGGAAUGUUGUCAUUAAUCCUCCUAACACGCCAUUCGUUAUAUUCAGAAGUUGUCAUUGGACCCACGGCUAAUCUCUUCAUUCGGCGAGUCUGAUUCCACGCAUUGGCCAUCUCACGAGCCUUCCUUUUGUAGCCAUCAUCCUUAUAUGAGAAUUCACACUCAGCUAGUCCUUGAGUGGCAGGCACAAACUGUCUUGACCUGUACUGUCUUAACACUAGCAAUGGGGCAUAACCAACAGCUCCCCAAAUCCCGAGCAACGGAACCCAGUCGAAAUCGCCACACCUAUAUAGGAUCUCAUCUGGAAGCAACCACGGAGCUCUCCACUCGAUAUCUUCUUCUUGCAGAUUCUGAAAGAUUGCCAUCCAUUUCUCCUCUGUAAUAUCAUCUCUCCUUGAUGCAGCCACUAUCUCUUUCAACGGUGAAUAACUUUCAGAGAAGACCUGAUAUGAAACCUUAUCAACCUUCCAAAAGUGGCUAUGGAACCACCCAAGUAAUAACUGCGCACAUCUAAAAAAUCUGCCCUCUCCCGUUCUUCGGCAUGCAUUUAAUGACCUAAAGGUUUCUGCCAAAAUCACCGGAACUGGCGUAACUCCCUUGUCAAGCCGGUCGAAUAAAUCAGUGACCGCCUAAUCAACAUGUCCCAAAAUCUUAGGAAACAAGAUUAGACCAUAUAUACUUAGAGCAAAGACGUCCACUUUCUUCCUCGCAUCUGGGUGUGCUAAAAUGAGGUCCUUCAAGUUUUUCCAAGGAAUACACCUACUAUCCCCUUUUUGCUUAAUCCGAGCUGUAACCCACUACUCAUUUAUCCCUGUUAUACUCAUCAACUUCCUCAAGAAGGUUGGUACAUUCACCGCUUUCGAAUAAAUUCUAUCCACCUGUACCUUCGAACACCGAAGUAAAGCCGUGUACUCCUCUAUUGUAGGCACUAGGUCAACCUUUCCGAAUGUGAAGCAACUGUACGCCGGAUUCCAAAACUGGGCAAGAGCUCGAAACAGACGGUUGUCUACCUUCAUGUCAAGUAAAUAAGGUAAAUCCCCAUAAUUUGAAUAGAAUAGCUGUCUAACCUCAUUAUCCCAUUGAUCCCAAAUCUCCUUCAAUUCCUGCAAGUUGUUCUGAGCUACGCUAACACGAGUGAAGUCCCAUAACUCUGAUACGUAUCCCACGGCCAAACUAUCACCUUUUUCAUGCUGUAUCUUCUCAGACCAAGUCCGGACAGCCGUAUUGUCUUCCACUCUAUCAAGAAACCCAUUUCCCAUGAUAAACUUUCUAUAUGGCAACCGAAUAUGAACCAACGCCUUUAUAAUGAAAUGUCAUGCAAUUAUGAUGUCAUGCAAUCAAAACAAAAGAAACCCAAGUUAGUAUCACAUAUAAAAAUAUAAUCCAAACAAGAACACUUAUUUAGGAAUCUACUAGGGUUCAGUAUAGUUCUCCCUAGGGCAAGUUCCUAAAGCUCACUAUAUGAGGUUUAGUUUCUAGAGUAAGGGUACCCGAACCAACAGAUUCCUCGAUCCUCACCCAUUAUAGGCUCAUACAGAUCGAGUUCAGUUCAGGGGGACACAUUUCCCUAUGGCUGCACGGAGAUGAAAAUCUCACGAAGACAUAGGUACGAAUGUAUCCCGGAAGCAGUCCACUAUCCUGCACGGAGGUGAAAACCUCACGAAGGACUAGUUUCUCGCUCCCACUUAAGGGUAAAAUGCAAAAUGCAAAUGCAAAGUUGCCAAAGUUCCAUGAUAAAAUAUCAAUGAGUGCAAAGGGAAAAUUUUUAAAAACUUUUUGAUUUUCGACACAAAAACAAAUAUGAUCAGUUUAUGGCUCGACUCUCUAUGUCCCCAGCGGAGUCGCCAAGCUGUCGAAACCGUUUUUUGAAAACAAAAAUUUUAGUUGUCGACUUAAAAAAAACAAAAACUGGAGUCGCCACCGAUCCUUUAUUAAGGUGUGAUCGGCCCACCUUAAAAAUAAUUUUGGUCUGCGAAAUUCGAGAAAAUAGGCUCGGGAGUCAGUUACGCACGAGGAAGGAUUAGCACCCUCGUAACGCCCAAAAUUGGUACCAAAUUGAUUUUUUUUAAUGCCUUGGUGUCGAAAAUUUGAAAAGAUUUUAAAAGGAAACUUUUUAUUUCAUGAAUGGAUUAAAAUAAAAAGACAUUCGUAUUUCAAAGAAAUAAAACACCACACCCAGUGAGUUAGGGCACAAUGUUUUUAAAUCUUCAAAAUACCCGAAUAUUGCCUUUUGCUUUUGAAAAUUCUUAUUUCGAGAAGAAAAUGUCAUGACCAGUAAGUUAGGACCCAACAUUUCGAAUUCCCGAGAAUAAGUUUUUAUUUAAAAUUUGAAUUUAUUGCAAAACAAAUAUUUGGCUUUCUAAACUCAUCGAAAAAUAAUCGCGAUCCAAUAAGUUAGGACACGAUCUUUCACGAGAAUCAUGAAUACUAAAUAUUUUGGAAUUUAUAAAAUAAGAUGAUUUAAAUACUUUGAGAAAACAUAUAUUUUCUUUNNNNNNNNNNNNNNNNNNNNNNNNNNNNNNNNNNNNNNNNNNNNNNNNNNNNNNNNNNNNNNNNNNNNNNNNNNNNNNNNNNNNNNNNNNNNNNNNNNNNCACAAGUAAAUUUGAAAAUAUGUGCAUGCGUAUGUUUAACACACAUACACAAAUAUACAUAAAAAACAUGCAUAGCAUAACUUAUAAUAAUCUCCAAAAAUAUGUACGUAUAUUUCAUAAAACAUGCAUAUGUACAAAAAAAAUAGAAAAAAAAUGCAUAUGCCUUGUAAAAUAUGAGAGUACAUACAUAUAUAUAUAUAUAUAUACAUAUUUAUUUAUAAAAACUAUGUAAACAAAAUAUAUAUAAAAUAUGAGCGUAUAAGGACUAAAAUAUGUAUGUAAGCAUAUAUAUAUAUAUGAACGUAAAACUAUGAGAAUAAAAUAUAAAAACGUGUGGAUGUGUACAUGUUUAAAAAAAUGUAUAAACACAUAUAUAUAAAAUAUAAGGUAUAAAAAUAUAAAGGAUAAAAGAUAGAAUAAAGGAAAUAAAAUGUAUGUAAAACGUAUGCAUGCAUUUUAAAGCUUAAGGAUGUAUAUAUGCUAGAAAUGAAAACAUGAAAAGUGAAUAAUAAAAGUUAUACGUUUGUAAAAAACGAAAUAUAAAACAAUAUGUAUAUACACGUACAUGAAAAUCAUAAAUGGAAUUAGUGUAAUAAUAAUAGUAAUAAUAAACGUGUAACAGUAUAUUAAAAAAAGAAAAAAAACUAAAUAAAGUAAAGAAAAGACCAAAUUGAAUAAAAAAACCAAAAAAAUAGGGGCAAAUUCGAAAAUAAUAAAAAAGGGAUGAAUUCGAACACGCGAGCGGCAAUGGGGGACCAAAAGAGCAAUUUACCCAGGCCUCCAAAACGCUGCGCUGAAGGGGACUGAAUUGAAACGUGAAUUGAAUAUGCGGCCCAAUUUUAAAACAAAAAAAAAGAUUUAAUUGACAUGCGCUGCAAAAGGGAGGGGUCAAAUGCACAAAUAACCCAUAUGACGUUAGAACGCGCGGAUCCUCCCCUCCGGGUCGGGUCACCGCGCGAGUCACACUUGACCAAAACGACGCCGUUUUGAAUGUUGUUUAAAACAAAAAUUUUCCUUCCAAAAAAAUCCAUUUGAAAUCGAAUGGGAAAAAAAAAAAGAAACUCCGGCGCUCUGCUAGGGUUCAAUCCCUAGCGUCCUUGCGCCGCCACUCAAUCGGCCCUCUCACCAAACUCCGAUCACGACAGAGAUGGCGGUGGCACGGCGUUUUUAGGUAUGUUUUCCUCCCUUUUUGUUAUUUCAAAUGAAAUAAAAUGAAAAUAAAGAAAAAAAUGUAAAAACGAUAAACACUUUUAACAAUAAAAAAGAAAUCACCUUUAAAACAAAACAAGUUUUUUUCUGCUUUUAUUCCCGAUUCUCUCCGUCAAAAAUCCGUCCUUUUUACAGAUAAAAGUCGGCCUUUUAUAGCCUGAAAACCUAUUUGUUUUACACUAUAUUUUCGCUAAUGGACUCUCUGAAUCCGUGUUUGCAGGUGCGUGGAGAGUGGAGGCCGAAACGUGCGGAGGCUGCAGGAGGCUGUUGCGGCGCUGGGCAUGGGCUGCUGAGGCUUGCGGCGCUGAAGCAGAGAGGCUCUAGGGUUUCUGCUUUCAACGUUUUUGGUGUAUUGGGCUUGAACGGCCCAUUUUUGUUUUGUAAAUGGUCUGGGCCAAUUGGGCCUUAUUACACGUAUUAUAUAUAUAUAUAUAUAUAUAUAUAUUAUAAACCAAUGGCUAAAAAUUUUUCUAAUCCUUCUAGCUUUCUUUAUAUGAGAGUCGUUAAAUUUUAGUUUUGAUUCGUAUACUUUGCUCAAAUUUUAAAUUUAAUCUAUAUACUUUAAUUUUUCAUAAUUUAAUUUCUCAUCCUUUUUAAUAUCAUUAGUUAAUUUAAAUAUUUUAUUCCAAAAACUUGAAAUAUAAUAAUUUAAUUAAAAGAAUAAAUAAUCAACACGAAGCAUGGGUGAGAAUCAUAAAUCAUGCAUGACUUCUAUCAUUAAGUAUCCUUAGCAGUCUUUUUAAGCUGUUAUUAUUAUAUUAUUAUUUUAUUCGUGCAUUGAAAUUAAAUCAAAUCCGAAUAUAAUACGUAAUUUCUUUUUGACCGGUCCAAGAUUAAGUUUAAUAAAAUCUAUUUGCUGUAUAUUUAUUAUUAAGAAACAUUGGUCUUAGUACGUCUCCUUUAGAAUAUUUACACUUAAUUCGCAUUAAAUAUAAAAUAUGAUUAUAAUUAUUUAAAUUCUUUUGUUUGGAAAGGAUAAAAUAUGAAUAUUUACACUUGAAAAGUAUUUUGUUUAAUAGGUUGGUUUGUCUUAAUUUUGAAUAUGGAAAUUAAGUUAUCUUGGAAAAGGAAGUUACAUGAGAGAAAAACUUGUUAAUCCUUAGAAUUUUCAGCAUUUUUAUAGUAAUUUUGAAAUGGUUAAUAUUAUUGUUGAGUAUGACUUAUAGUUAAAUUUAAGAGAUAAUCUCUUAGUUAAACUCUGUUUAUUUGUUUCAGUUAAAUUUUGAUUAGUCUAGAUUAUUUUAUUAUUAUUUGACCUACGAAUUUAGCCUAUAAAUAGGAUCUUUUACAACAUUAUAAAAAACACCCAUUAAAAUAUUAGAACUCAUAACACUUUUGGAGAAUUUUGUAUUUACAUUUUGAGGGUUCUUUUUUUUAGGUUUCGGGGUUUAGUUUUUAUCUUCAUCUUUUGUAAUUUUUAUUUUUUUGUCAUUAUAGUAAAAUUAUCUUUAUCCGUGGUUUUUUAUCCUCUUUGGAGGGGUUUUUUUCACGUUAAAUUUGUGUGUUCAAUUUCUCAAUUGCUUCCGCUAUUUUUUACUUGUUUGUUGCUUAAUCGGAUCAAUUCCCAACAAUCAUCAUAUAAUAUUUUUUAUAUGUUGCUAGUGAAUUGAGGACAUAUUUCUAAAAUUUAAAUGAAUUUUUUCUUUUGUAUUCUUUAUAUUCAUUUUACGGUAAUGCAUCACAUAUAAAUCCAUUUUAAAUUGAAAUCCAUGUUUUAUCAUUUACAUUAUCUUAUAUUAUUUUGAGCUAAUUCAAUCAAUUGUCUCUAAAUUAUUGUCAAUAUUUUUAAGGUAUAAUGUCAAAUUGUUUACAUCUUUUUUCAGUUUGGUUCUUAUUCUUUUUUGAGUUAUAAAUUUGGCCCUCAAUUUUUUUUAAAAAAUUGUCAAAUCACUUUUUAAUGAAAAUAUUCAUUAAAACCUUAUUUUUUAACGAUGUUGGUAUGUCAACCCGUGUGGUAAUCCACGUGUACUUCAUGCUAACAUGACACUUUAUCUUAUAUAUCACACCAAGAAAUAAUUUAAAUUAUAAAAAAUUCCAAAAAAAAACGAGAGCAUGAAGUACAUGUGGAUUGCUAUGCGAGCUGUCAUGUCUAAAAACCUAAUGUUUAGCUAAUAUUUCCGUUAAAAAAAUAACAAUUUAAUUUUUUUUGAAAGGUUGAUGGUCAAAUAUGAUUUUUUUUUAAAGGUCGUGAGCCAAAUUGAUAAAAAAAAAUGUAAACAUUAAGGGAUAAAUUUGACAUUAUGCCAAUUCUUAAUUAGUUUUAAACUUCAAAAUAUGUUAUUGACAUGGUAUCAAAUAGGUUUUCCAUUAGCAUAGUAGUUAAUUUAAGUGUUAAAUGUCAAUUAGGAUAUAAUGUGGAGCCUACUUAAAACAUGAAUUAAAUUGUAAAUUUGAGUAUUGUCACUUCCCAAAAAUAAGGCUAGAAGAAAUAGGGAUAAAAUUUAGAUUUUAUUUUUUUAAGCAUAGGGUAAAAGAAUUUAGAAUGCCUUAAAAAUUAUUUUUGAUAAGAAAUUAACAAGAAUUAGUCUACUAGUUCAUUGGUAAGGCCUUAGCUUUCUCUUGGGUCUCAAGUUUGAAAUCUCUUGUUCACCUUUCAAGCAAAAUAUUUUAUUUUCUUAUUUUUACCCCAUAAAAGUGCCGAAUUUUCAAACUAGCCCAAACCAAAAAUUGUUAUUUUCUAAUUUAGUCCUUAAUUUAAAAUAGUCUUGCUUCUCCAUGGAAUCCUAAAACCUAUUUCAAUUAGGGAAAAAGAGUUUUAUAAUUAGGAAAUCUUUUCAAAACUCUAGAAAUUUUAUCUAGUGAAUUUUUCAAGGAAAACUCUCAAGUUCUUCAUUUUCUCCAUCAUUACCAAACCAAUUUUCAAGCAAAGAAAUCCAAGGUUUCCAAAAUCGUCCCUCUCCUCCCAAGUAGACCAUCAUUCUCCUCAUCCAAAUUAAGGUUUUUGUGUCUUCGAAUCAGGUGUGGGAUCUAAACAUAAAUCAUUAUAUAUGAUUAACUGUAGUGUUAGGAAGUAAUAAGACUGCUAUGCAACCCCUCAUGUUAUGCGAACCCCCUUGCAUGUGCGAGCCCUGUGUGUGAUCCCCGUGUGCAAAACCCCCUAUGUGUGAGCUUGUGAGCGAACCUCUAUACGCGAACCCCUAUAGAUGAACUAUAGCUUGUAUAUACAUAUGCAAACCCUCAUGAUUUUUAGUAUAGGAUUUAAGUUGCAAACCCUAUAUAUAUUACGCGAGGCAUAUAUAUCAUGCGCACCCUAAACAUACUUUGCGAGCUUUAUAUAACAUGCAAACCCUAGGUAAUAUGUGAAUCGAGUAUAUCAUGCAAACCCUAGGUCCUAUACGAGCUAUAUAUAUCAUGUGAACCAAAGCUUGCAUAUCAUGAAAAUCCUAGGUACUAUGCGAACCCCCUGUGUUACAAACCCCCUGUAUGUCCGAACUCUGUUAGGCGAACUGAAGCAUAUGUGCGAACCCUACAUGUACGAACCCCUAGGUGCAAACCCUACAUGCGCUAACCCAUAUGUGCAAUCCUAUAUGUGCGAACCCUGUAUGUGCAAACCCUGCUUAUGUAUGUGUUAGCCGAACUAAGAAUGUUAAUAUGCAUGAAGAUAUUGUAUAUGUGAAAUUGUUUUAGAUCGCUUAAAUUAAUUGUAUAUGUGAAAUUGAUGGGAAUGGAUGAAUGAUCACAUGCCAUUAAAUGAUAGUAUGAAAUAUCAAAUGAAGCAUUGAAAGAUGAUAAAUAGCAUAAUAUGCUAAUUGUAUGUGCAUAAUUACAUGAAUUUAGGUAAGAAGGUCGAAGGAGUUCCAUAGGAGAUAGUGGCAAUUCAAGUCCACACCAAAAGUCAGUAUUGCACAGAGUAGGUGGCUAUGUCAUCAAAACUGGAUAAAUCAGGAUGAUAGUUUAAAAAGCCAUAAAAAAUCGGGUAACUGAGAUGGUAAGUUAUUGUUGUAAAAGUCAUCGUCACAUAUGACAAGUGAACGACCAUCGUCAUCGGAAAUCAAAUCCGAGAUGGUUAGUUUUUUUUAUGUGUUUUGGUGUGUCGAGCGAUGCUUGAUGGCGAUUAAGAUGGACAGGUUGGAAAUUAAAUUUAUAAUUGCAUUUGCAUCAUGAAUAAACUAUAUAUGCAUUGAAUCACUACAUGUUCCUUACAUCAGCUUAACUUGUAUUAUGCUUGAUUUGUUAUUAUGCUAUAAAUUAAAUUCUAUAUUAUUUGAAUGAUUAUAUAUAACGGUUUAAAAAUUAGACUCACACUGAGCUAUCAUAAGCUCACCCCCCAUUUCUUUACCUCUUAGGUAAUGCAGGAAACUAGGUCUCGGAAUGGCAUAAGAAGAACCUCGAAUUAGCAACUUGUUUUGGUUUUAUUUAAAAGUUUCAUUAAAAGUUUUCCUUAAUAAUUUAUUUUUGGGUUUGUAAUUAUUAAGUAUUUUCUCGUUUUUAUAUCAUAGGUUUGGGAUUUGUUUAGCUUAUUUAUUUUAAGCAUGUCAUUUGAUUAUUACUCUAAUAUUUGCAUGCUAUUCAGUAUAGGAAACUAUUAUUCUAAAUGUUUUCUGCUGCUUUACAAAAUACUUAAAGUUUUGAUAGGUCUUUUCUUAAAAACUUAAAAGUCGUUUUCUUAAAACUUCAUAUCAAUUAUACUGUAGAUGAACUAAUAAGUCAAAUUGGUUUAAUGAAUGAAUGUUUUUCUAAAAACAAAAGAGUAUUUCCAUACAAAUCAAACGCAUCUAAAAAGAACGGUUUUACAGGAUCACUUCGGUGAUCGAAUGUAAUGCCUUUGACUUAGCCGAAACUCCUAGGCCAGGUCGAGGAUGUUACAUAUAUAUAUAACUACGACAUGAAAAACCUGGAUUUGACGUAUUAAAAACUAGUAUCAAUUAAAUUUUAUCUAUGCAAUAGAUAUAUAUGUUUUUUAUAAUUUGAUCUACGAAUUUUAAAUAUAUUUCAUCUCAAAUUUGAGUUGGCAUUUAAUGCCUAAACUAAUUGUUGAAUUAAUAAAAGGACUUAAUUGAUAUGAUAUGAUAAUUUGAGAACUAAAUUAAAACAUUUUAAAAAUUAAAGAUGAAUUUAAAAUCCCAUAAUUUGAGAACAUUGCGUCUAAUGUGUUUAUGGUGAAUUGUAAACAAAUCCUUGGUCAAACCUGACAUGCUCUAUAAAAAUCCAUGAAAAAUCAGUUGUAAAAAGGUAGAAAAGAAAGGCAAAUACUUUCAGAUGCUUAACCGACUUCAUUCAAUUUUUAUUUUCAUAUAAAAAAUACUUAAUAUAUUUAAUAUAUAUUUGAUGGUUGAAUUUUUUACAUAAAAUAAAUUAAAUUUAUAUAAAAUUUGUUAUGCAUAAUUUAAAGGAAUAAACCAUAAAACAUAAUGGUUUUAUCGUUAAAAUAUUAAUUAUAUAAAUAAUUAUAAAAGUGUAUAAAAUUACUUUAAUUUUUAUUAAUUUUUAAUUUCUUCGUUAUUAUUUUUAUUAAUUUUUUUUAAAAAAAUUAUAAAAUAUUUGAUGUUUAGAAUUUUAAGAAUGAUACAUAUAAACAAUUUCUUUUCUUAGUUUUUAAAUUCAUCCAUUUAAAAACAAUUCUGAUAUCCUAAAGAGAGUGGGUCAAAUAAGUAACAAAUUUAUUUAUUUUAAAAUGCUAACAAGUAAACAAAUACAUUUGAUCACUAAGGAUUAAAAGAAACAUGACAAACAUUUUUUAAAGUAAAAUUUUAAAACUUUAUAUCAAAAUAAGUCAGUAUUUUGAAUACUAUAGAGUCGUAUUGUUCUUUCUUUCCAAUCAUAUUUCCUAGGAAAUUAAUAUAAGAUUACUGGUCAAAAGUUUUGUGAAGAGUAUGUCAAAAGCAGAGAAAAGAAUAAAUAUCAUUCAUGCCCUCAAACAUUUUGAUCGAACUGCAAAAGUUUAAAGUAAAUAGAGGAUAUUUAAACCUUUUUUACAGACAUCAACUUUGAAUCAAAAGAAUCAAACAAAAGACAAAUCAACAUUUCUUUUAAUCUAUUUGUAUUUCUCAUGCACUUUGUUUUCUUGAAUUUAAGUUCUCCUUUUUUGACUUCAAAUAUCACCACUAUUUUUCUUACCUAUAAAUACAUGCAACAAUUGCACUCUUAUCCUCACACAAAUUCUGUGCCAAAUUUCAAGAGCAAACCAAGAAAAGGCUGCAAAUUCAGCUUUUCAAUAUCUGCUUUUGAUCAAUCGAAAUGGCUUCACAAGUUUCUCAAAUGCCUUCUUCAUCACCCCUUUCUUCCAAUAAGGAUGAAAUCCGUCCCAAAGCCGAUUUUCAGCCUAGCAUUUGGGGAGAUUUCUUCCUCAAUUGUCCCGACAAGGUAUACAUACAUAUCACCAUAUUGAUAUAAUCUUAACAUAUUAUUUGUUCAAUUAUUUAGUGAUUCAAUAUGAAGAAAAUUUUCAUUGUUUUGAGCAGAAUAUUGAUGCUGGAACUGAAAAACGCCACCAACAAUUGAAAGAAGAAGUGAGGAAGAUGAUUGUGGCACCAAUGGCUAAUUCGACCCAAAAGUUAGCCUUCAUUGAUUCAGUCCAAAGACUGGGUGUGAGUUACCAUUUCACCAAGGAGAUCGAAGAUGAACUAGAGAAUAUCUACCAUAACAACAAUGAUGCCGAGAACGACCUCUACACUACAUCUCUUCGAUUCCGACUACUCCGAGAGCAUGGAUACAAUGUUUCAUGCGGUAAUUAUUGGAACAGAAACAUAGUGUUUUUAAGUUUCUUGAGAAUAUAAUAGCAUGGAAUGUUUGAUAACGAUAUUUCAUUUUGGGUAAUUUCAUGUCAGACGUAUUCAACAAGUUUAAAGACGAGCAAGGGAAUUUCAAGUCAUCCGUGACAAGCGAUGUUCGAGGAUUGUUGGAACUUUACCAAGCUUCCUAUUUGAGGGUUCAUGGGGAAGAUAUAUUGGAUGAAGCAAUUUCUUUCACCACCAACCAUUUAAGCCUUGCAGUAGCAUCUUUGGACCAUCCUUUGUCCGAAGAGGUUUCUCAUGCUUUGAAACAAUCAAUUCGAAGAGGCUUGCCAAGGGUUGAGGCAAGGCACUAUCUUUCAGUAUACCAAGAUAUUGAGUCCCAUAAUAAGGCUUUGUUGGAGUUUGCUAAGAUCGACUUCAACAUCUUACAAUUUUUGCAUAGGAAAGAGCUAAGCGAGAUUUGCAGGUAUGUUUUUUAAUCUCUUUCACCCAUUUUUUCUUUUUCAUCUUAUUUAUUUAUUUAUUUAUUAGUGGAAGGAGGGUUGAAUUUAUUGGAGACAUCAUUCUCAGUAUAGGAGACAAGUUGCAAAUGCUAAUAUUUGAAUCUUAUUAAAUAGUACAAGUUAAAAGUGAUGGCAUGAACCUUGGAUUCAUCUUUUUCACCUAUAUCAUUUUACUUAUAAAUAUUUUAAUAUUUGAGGUUGCCAAUUGACUUAAAUCUAACAACAUGAAUGUGAAACUAAUUGAAACAUUGAAUAUUAAUUGUGCUAAUGGGGUUUUUUAUGAUAUCAUUUUUUAGGUGGUGGAAAGAUUUAGACUUUCAAAGAAAGUUGCCAUAUGCAAGAGAUAGAGUGGUUGAAGGCUAUUUUUGGAUCUCAGGAGUGUACUUUGAGCCCCAAUAUUCACUUGGUAGAAAGAUGUUGACAAAAGUGAUAGCAAUGGCAUCUAUUGUAGAUGAUACAUAUGACUCAUAUGCAACAUAUGAAGAGCUCAUUCCAUAUACAAAUGCAAUUGAGAGGUUAGAUUUCUUUAAUUUUGUUGGUAAUAGGUUAGGUUUCUUUAGUUGAAGUUAACAUUCAAUAAUAUAUUACGAGGAAUGAUUAAAUAUAACGUUGAAGUUGGAUUCAGGUGGGAUAUCAAAUGCAUAGAUGAACUUCCUGAAUACAUGAAGCCGAGCUACAAGGCACUAUUAGAUGUUUAUGAAGAAAUGGAACAACUGGUGGCUGAGCAUGGGAGACAAUAUCGUGUUGAAUAUGCGAAAAAUGCGGUAUGUACAUCAACAAACAUUUAUUUUGUACAAAAGAGAUAAGAUCUUAGCUAAAUUCUAGAUUUGAAUAAACAACUAACUCGAAUAACAAUAUAUAAUCAUUUAAAUAUUAUUAUCGAAUUUGAAUUGAUAUUAGUGAUAAUUGUUGGGAUUUUUUCGCUUCAGAUGAUACGACUUGCUCAAUCUUAUCUUGUGGAGGCCAGAUGGACUCUUCAAAACUACAAACCAUCAUUCGAGGAGUUUAAGGCUAAUGCAUUGCCAACUUGUGGUUAUGCCAUGCUUGCUAUUACAUCUUUCGUCGGCAUGGGAGAUAUCGUAACACCAGAGACCUUUAAAUGGGCAGCCAAUGACCCUAAGAUAAUUCAAGCUUCCACAAUUAUUUGUAGGUUUAUGGAUGAUGUUGCGGAACACAAGGUAUAAUAAUAUAUUUAGAUAACCACAGGAAACCGAACUCUUAACUAAAUAAUUCAAUGUCUUUGUAACAAAAUCAAACGAUGGUUUUUAUCAUGAUCUAAAAAAAAAUAAAGUUUAAUGUUUAUAUAUAAAAUGUUUAGUCUCAAAUUGAAGAAUAAGAAAAGAAAUCUAGUUUCAUUUUAGGGCUUUUAGUGAGGAAGUAUUGUCAAUAAAUGUAUUUUAUCGUCACAAACAAAGGUAGUUUAAUAAACUGAUAGAUUUUAGGGUAUAUAGUGAUAGAAUAAUUUUGAUUUUAUUAUGGCUGCAGUUUAAGCAUAGGAGAGAAGACGAUUGCUCAGCAAUAGAGUGUUACAUGGAAGAAUAUGGCGUAUCAGCACAAGAGGCAUAUGAUGUAUUCAACAAGCAUGUUGAGAGUGCCUGGAAGGAUGUGAAUCAAGAGUUUCUGAAACCAACAGAAAUGCCAACAGAAGUUUUAAAUCGUAGCCUAAACCUUGCAAGGGUGAUGGAUGUACUUUACAGGGAAGGAGAUGGAUAUACAUAUGUUGGAAAAGCGGCUAAGGGUGGAAUCACUUCAUUGCUUAUUGAACCAAUUGCACUUUGAAAUUUAUAUUAAAUUUUCCUCUUCAAGCAUCUUCCUUAAGAAAUAGUUAUUAAGUUCUAAUUAAUAAUGUUGUAUAAUAUUCAUAUAUAUUAUCAAAGAAAGUCCGAAUCGAUUGUCUUUGUACUCAUUACCUUCUAUUAAUUCAAUAAAGUUCUUUUCAAGCUUUCCAUUAUGAAAAAUAUUCUUUUUUAUAUUUUAUAUUUACUUAUUUUUAUAUACUUUUUUAUAUAAAAGAAUAUGUGAUGUAAAAGUAGGACGAAUUAUAAAUAUUGGAAUUAAGAUAAUAAUAAAAAUCCACUAUCCCUUACCACUUUAAGUUUAUUGACAUAAACUUUGAACUCGUUAUUUAUUUAAUUUUGAUGAAGUUUGACAUAUAAAAUACAUUGAUUAAGUUUGACAUAUAAAAUACUCACUAUUAAUUGCGGCUUAAAAAUCAUCAAAUUUGUAGCCAAUCUUAAAGGAUUAGUAGUCAAUUUCAAAAUAAUUAUUUCUUAAAUGGAAUGAUCGGAAUGGAUUAAAUUGGUUGAUUGAUUAAUUUUUUUAUCAAGUUUAAUUAGGGAAAUAUUUUGUUUCAGAUAUUGGAGUGGAUGAUUUCCAUAAAAUAGAGACAUAGAUGUGAUUGAUCAGACUGACAGUACAUCGGACAAGAACCAAGUAGAAUAAAUUCUAGAUCCAUUUAUGGAUUUAUUCACUUAUGACAUUCAUAGUGUGAUAUACUUUAAUAUUGAAUGGAUAAUUGAAUGGAUAAGGGAGUAUGUAUAUGUGACUCGGAUGCUUUGAUGUAAAUGAAAACAGGUGUUCAAAUAGAUAAAUAAUCCAAAGUUGGUACAUUGGGUAUAUGACUUCUGCAUGAUGUAGGAUCAUUCCACAAUAGUGAAAUUCAUAGCCCAAUUAAGGGGAAAUGAUGAUAGAUGGAAAGUAAUGUGACCAUAGGUCAUUUGUCUUAGAGAUAAAUUAUUUAAUUAGUAAUUGACUUUUCAUGAAUGAAGAUGUUAUGGUUACCAUGACAUAAAACAGUAUCAUAAUGGGAGCACGGGUUUAUCUCAAAGAGAUUAAGGAUAUCCUAUGAGAGUAACAUACUUAUGACAAGGUAUUUGAAUGAACACUUAAUUAGUAGAUUUUAUAAUAGUAUAUAAUAAAGAAGUGUUCAAUCAUGGUACUUUAGUGGAAUGACUCUAUAAUUAAAUAAUAUUGUAAUUAAUAGAUGAAGAGUCGAAACUUAAUUACAAAUUAUUUGAGCCAUAAUUUUAUAUGUUCAAUUGGUCUCUCUGUUAGCUCAAGAUAAGUCAAAACAAAUUGCAUGCAAAACCAAUCAUAUGAAAUGAAUGAAAACAAUGAAAUAAGAUAAAUAGAUUGCAUGUAUACUAUCUGUAAUGAAUGCAUUUUCUCGCUAAUUACAAAAGAUGACUUAUAAAUUAAUUUAACUUCUUUAUAUUAUUAUUUAAUUAAUUGUAAUUAUUUAGAAUUAAUUUAAUUUGUCAACAUGGAUUUAUUGAAAGGGAUAAUUAAAUAUUUUUCCUCCUAGAUUCUAAUACGGUAAAGUUGUGUGACUUCAACAAAAUUAGAAUUGGGUUGAGAAAAGAAUUUAAUUGUGAAAUUAAUUUAACUAAUUAGUUAAUUAAAUUAAGUUAUUAAUUAAUAUUUUAAGAAAUAGAAAAUAAUUAUUGGGUUAGAUAAAUUAUAAAUAUUAGAUAAAAAUCUAGAUAACACAUAUAAUAGUACCUAAUACAUGAAAGACUCAAAUUAAGCCCGGUUUAAUAUAAGGAGUAACAAACCCUAAUACCCUAGGGGUGCCACUACCCACUCCUUAUUCUACUUCCAAGUAGAAUUUAUAUUUUUAUUAAAAUAUAUAUAAUUAAUUACACUUAAUUCGAACAAAACUCUUAUACCAUAUCUCUAUAAAUAACACAAUUUUGAGAGCACCAUUAUUUUGUCGAAAAAUAGUGACAAUUUUAUUUUAUAAUAAAUUUUAUUUUUUGAGAAAAAUUUAAUUUUUGGUUAUAGAGAGAAUUAAUUUUCCCUUUUGAAAGUUAAAAAAAGUUGUAACACCCCAAGAUUUGGGAAUUCCUAAAUUUGGACGCAUAGUUCAAAAGUAAUUUGUUCGUUCAAAAGUCCUAAGUUGUAACACAUGCAGAAUAAAUUAUUAUGAAGAAAGAAAGAUAUUAAUUUCAUUGAAAACUUUGAAUUAUAAAUAGACGCCUUUGGUGAAAUUUACUUAAUUCCCUUUCAAUAUUUCAUUUCAAUUCUAAUGUAUUAGAUUUUCUUUUAAGGCAUCUAUUGGAGCGAGCGUAGUAACUAAUUUUUCGUAUUCUGUAGGUUCAUUAAAGGAUAGAUGUUGACUCUAAAUUUUAAAGCCGCUUCAUAUUUAGGACCCAUAAAAAAAACAUUAUCAUCUCACUUAACUCUCGUAGUUAAUGUAUUAGAAUAUUUUAAAUGAUGAAUUUAAAUAUAAAUUUUUAGUAUCGACUAAAUCAUACAGCUACGGAGAUUACAAUUCAAAUUAAAAAAUAUGUUAAAUUAAAUAGUGAAAAAUACGUUAUUCAAAGAGUGAAGCUGUCUUGUUUGUAUGGUUAGAUUUUAUUAGAAUUUUUUUUAUAUAUUUCAUGCUUAUUUUAUGGUUUACGUUUAUCAGUUUUCGUUGUUUUUUUCAAUGAAUUUCGUAACUAUACAGUGAGAAUCCGUCACUAAAGUUGACUAAUUUGUCAUUUCCGAUGAUUCAAAUGACUUUUCAACACUCUAAGUCUAGAGUCAAUAUUUUAUUGCUUUUUUUUAGAUGGCUGAAAAUAUGAUUAAUGUGCCUUUCUUUUCUUCCUUAAAUUAUGUCAUUAUGUUAAUUAACUUCUUUUUUUCAUAUUAUUUCAAUAUAAUAUAUAUUAGAAUAAAUUUAAAAAAUCAAAAAUCAGUUUUGAGUAAUUAUUAUUAUUUGAAUAAUCUCAUUAUAGGUUCUGGUCAUAUUAUUUUUAACACAAUGGUUAAAACUAUCCAUAACCCCUCUCCAACGAUAAAUAAGACUCAAACGCACAUACUCCUGUAUUGACAACAAUAUCCAUGUUAAUCGAACUAAAAUUUAAUCGACAUAGCUAAUUUUUUUUUAAUAUACGAUAAAAGAUAAACCAAACUUUGAUCUUAUUAAUCCAAACUCAAACAUGAUUAUCUUGAUUUGAUAAUAGGAAAAAAUUUAAAUUAACCCAAAAUAACUUAAAUGGAAAACACCCAAACUUUAAAACUCUUGCAAGUAUUUGAUUGAAGAUUGUUAAUUAACAUUUAAAAAAAUUGUUUUACGUUCAUUACAUUAUUUUUAUUAAGCUAAAAAGUAAUUAAUGGUGUAUAUUUUAAUGUGAUCCAACACCAUAUGUUAAAAUUUAUUAGUAUUCAUUUUCAAGAUUUGGUUAUGAUAUUUAAUUUCGUUUAUCUUAUACUCUUGUUUUCUUUUCCCAAGGAAUAUUCAAUAAAUGUUGCCAAUGUAUAUCUCAAAAUAAUGACUAUGAUUUGAAAUAAAAUAAUGUUAGAUGCAUGUACCUUUCUCUUUGUUUCUCUAUUCGAUUUUUCUUAAUGAUAAUUAUAUCUACCAUUUGAGUAUUUAAUCAUUACUAGGGGACUGAAGGUAGAAAAAAUAUUUUCAUUAACGUUUAUGUAAGAAUUAAAUAAAAAAAUUUGAUUAAAAUUGUAAAGUGAAAUAUUUAAAAAUUAUAAUAUAAAUUUAUCGAUUCUAUAUAAAAAUAUGUGAAAAAGAUAAAAUCACCCUCUGACGAAUUUUUAAAACCAUACGAAGCCGCCACCAAUUUCUUUUAAAGAGUGGUUGACUGCAUAGAAAGUUUAAAAUCAUUAAAACAAAUUUUGAUGGGCGAAACUAAAUCUGAGUUUAAGAGCACGAUUAUGCGUCAGAAAGAAAGAUGUUAGCAUCCUCAUGACACCCAUUAUUAAAGGGAUACCAAAAUAAUCAUGAGUAUUUGUAGAUUGGAUUAAAAUAACUUUAAUUCUAAUAUUUAAAAACCAUUGCUCAUAAUAAAAAAUAAUUUUUAUUUAUAUAAAAUGAAUUUUUACUAGAUCCAAAAUGGUUGGUAUCCUUUGAGAUAAAUAGUAAGAAUACAAUAAUAAAUUAAGCUCUCAACGUUUAUAUUUUUGUCAAUUUGGCCUUUUUUUUUUCAAUUAAAUUUUGUCAUUAAACUUUUAAAAAGAGUUGAAUCGCUUUUCUUUACUAGAAAUGUUGAUUAAAACAUUAAGUUUUUAACAACGUUGGCAUGGCAAUCUAUGUGUACUUCACACAACAAUUAAUUUAAAAAUAUUCAAAAUUUAAAAUUUAAAAAAAGUUAAUAAAAACUCAAAAGAAAUUUGCAUGAAAUAUAUGUAAAUUGUCAUGUGAGGUAUCAUGUUUAAAACAUUUAAUGGUUAAAUUCAAUUGUUAUUGAAAGAUUAAUGGUUAAAUUUAACUUUUUUUUAUAAGAUUGAUGACAAAAAAAUAAAGGUUAAAUUGAUAAAAAAAAAAGAUAAACAUUAAAAACUAAAUUUACGAGUAUGCCUUUAGUCACAUUUGUGGGUGGUACAUAUACCCAAAACACUUUGUUGGGUACUUUACUAUUGAGGUUGUCCACGAUAACAUAUAACCCACAUGUGGUGUUUCCACUUUUGAAACCCAAAAGAUAUAUCCCAAGUGCAUGUUGCAUAGAAGACUCAAACACGCACACAUCCUAAUAACACAAACAAAUUUUGCAAUCUCUCACAUGAAAUAAACAAAAUUUGCAAUCUCACACUCUGAAGGACUCAAGAAUAGUGAGAUUCCAAGAGCAUGCAACCAUACACCUAAAACCAUGAAAUUAUUUACCUUCAAUUCGUGUUUAUUCGAAGUAAGAUUUCAUCGUAUGCAAACGAGAGAGGGUUACAAUACAAAGUAGAUCCUCUCUAUAUAUAUGCUCCCUUCUUGGUUCUUCUUCUACCUCACUUGUAAGCUUCCUGUCUUUCUCCUUUGAAUGCUUCACUGUUCUCUUCACCUCUCUCUUUUUUCUUAUUACCUUUUUCUUUCUCUUCCCUUGCAAAAUGAGGGAGGAGGUCAUGCCACCCUUAAAUGUUAAUAACAUUGACAAAUACCAUAAAAACCAAAAAAUAAAAAUAAAAAAGAAUCAAAAUUUAUAGUCAAAAUCAAAGUUAAGGUCAAAAAUUAAAAUCAACCGCCGAAACUUAGAGCAAUAUUAAACUUGGAUUUUUCAAAAUUAAACUUGAAAUAUGGUUACCUGCGGUAGUGACUUUAAAAUCGAGUUUUUCCCGAAUAAGAAUGAGUUACAAUACAUAUAAAUAAUAAUUUCUUAACUAUUUUUCUUUAAAUUUUAAAUUAAAUUAAUAUUUAAUUGAUUCGUGAUACCUAUUUAAAAUUUUAAUCUAAAGUAAAUAUAUCCAUCAAUAAAUGUCUUAAUAAUACUAUCACUAUCUAUAUUUUUAGUAAUUAAAAUUAAAUUUUCGAUAAUGAUCCAUUUAUAUACGUAUAAAUUUAAAGUAAUUUUACAGUUUUUUAUAUCUCUUAAUAUGAUUAAUAUUCUAAGUAUUUAAUCGUUAAAAUUAUUAUUUUAUUUAUAUAUUCUAACUAUUUGUUUUAGGUAAAAAAAAUUAACCAUUCAAUAAAUAUUAAUAUAUAUCUAUAGUAUUUUAGAUUGAUGUGAUGAAGAUAUAUAUUAGAUUAAUUCAAAAAUAUACAUGCAUGACAAGUAUAAUUAUAUCAAUAAAUCCGACGGUUAAAUUGUUACAAUAUUAAUCUUAAAAAGAGAUAUGAAAGAGUAAAUCACUGUAAAUAGAUCUCCCAAAAUAAUUUGUAGUUAAUGUCCCAAAUUUCCAUAUAUAUAUAUAUAUAUAUAUAUAUAUAUAUAUAUAUACACGAUAAUGUGACCACUAGAUAGACUAUUUUGGACAUUAAAUGACGUACCAAAAAAGGAAAGAAAAAAAUAAUUCAAAAACGACACACUCUCCAUUGAUAUUUUCAUUUUAAGGUUGUAUUCUUUUGACUUAAAAAGAUAAUUAAAAUUAAAAAAAAAAUACAAUAAUUUUAUCGUGUUAUUGAUAAAUAUAAUAUUUUAGGAAAAUAUGGAAUAUUUUACUUUUGAAUUUCAUAUGGAUAAUAAAUGUGUAUAUAUAUGAACUCUUCAAGGAUAAUUUAAUUAUUAUUUAAUAAGAAGAUUUGGUAACUAACGUAUUGUUUUGACUAAAAGGACGUUUAGUAUGAUGGAAAGUUAUCAUUUUUUAUGACAUAUAAUUGGUUAAAAUGUGAUUCAAAUUUAAUUUCCUUGGAAUGUAACAUUCUCUUUGGAGAUACUUUCCUUAGGUAAUGGAAAGUGAUUCCCUUGAUAAUUGGUAAGAAAGUUACUUUCUCAUAUAGAUCGAAAGUAAAAAGAAUUUAUUAAGACAAAAUUAUAAUUUUUUUUUCUAUUUGUGUUUACGAUUAAAAUUUAAAUUGAAUGUAUUUUUUAAUAUAAAAUUUUUAAAUUAUAGUUUUUCGAUGAUAUGAAAUUUUAGUAUCAAGAAAAGUGCUCAAACGAAAUUUAUUUUCGAGUUUAAAAGAAAUAUUUCAUUUCUUAAUGCACAAAUACUUGCUAGCUUUUUUAUACAACAAUAUUGAUCCAUAUCUUCUACAUCUUUGGAGAAAAAAGGGAGGUGCAAGAAGGAGAAAAUAAGGCGGCGAGCAUAAUGGUAAAACCAGGGAAGAAAAGAGGAUAAUGUCAUGUGCUUACUGUCUCUAGUGCUUGAAACCAUUUUGAGCUAUUUUUUUCUUUGAAUCCAAACCUUCCUAAGCCUUAGAAUGUUACAAGCCGAGAAGACCUAUGUGACCUAAGCAUUUCCUUUACAUGAUCUUCUUGACUUGUUUAUAGUUAGCUUAUUGAAAGCUUUGGAUUUGCAUGUUGUGUCUACUAUAUAUCUAUAUAAGUUAUAUUGAUGGAUAACAUAAUUGAGUAUUUACUCAUUUGAAUCGCCAAGGUUUAUUAGUUUUUUAACUUAGUUAACUAGGUAGAUUUGCUUUAGGAGUACUUAAGUUAGCUAAAAAUCAAUCUUAAAUUGCAUGUGAAAUACGUCUUGUAUAAAUUCAAUAUUCGAUUGUCAUGCUUCUUAUUGUUCACCAUAUUCCAAGGGUCAUCUUAUGCAUGUUUUGUGUGUUUGCUUGUGGACAAACAACAACUUAAGUAUGGAGGAGUUUGAUCUAUCGUAUUUAUGUGUUAAAUUAAGCUAUUUAUUCUUGAGUAUUUUAUAUCGUCUGUUAUUACUUUCCCACAAUUAUUAGAUUUAAUACUUAACAUUAGUUUUUAUUUCGUUUUUAUGUUUUCGGAAUAAAAUGACAAGUUUAUGACAUUAGUAACUUAAUCUUUGAGUUAAGCUUGGUACAGUUACUUGGUUGAUGUGAAAAUGAGAAGAGGAGCCUAAACUAGAGCAAAGGUUGCGACACCAAUGCUUCCAACAUCAUCCGAGGAGUGAGACUUCAAUAAAUUGCACAUUUGUGGAGAUUACUUCCAUUGUUGCGACACCAAGGAGUUGAUGUCGCAACACCAACCUUGGUGGUUUUAACACUGGGCUAGCAAUGUCGCAACAUCGAUCAUAGCCUCUAAAGUUGAAGAACUCAAGUUGCCUGAAGACAAUGUCAUGACACCAAAGGCCAUUGUUGCAACACUAAAAUACCCAAUAACCCAAAUGUGUAGACUAUCAUAGGUGUCGUGACAUCGACCCUUGACGAGGCAAAAUAGUUGAGGGUAUUUUAUUGUCCAACAACCUUCAAAUUAGAUUUUUAAGGGGGGCAUAAUUAUCAUUUUUAGGUUAAGUUAGAAAAGACUAUAAAAACUACUUUAUAAGUCUUUUUGUAGUAGAGUUGUAGGGUAGAACAUAUUUCUACUUUUCAUCUUUUUAGAUUAUAUUUAUUUUUCUUUUCUUUUCUUUCAUUUUCUUUAGAAUAAUUUUAGCUAUAGAUUUUCUUCUCUUUUAUCGAGAACUCUGUAAAUGGAGAUGAUCAAGCUUGUGGGCUUCAUCGUAUUUUAAUCUAUUAAUGAGCAUUUUCUCAUAUCCUUAUCUUUUAUAUUUUAUUUCUACCAUGUGUUUAAUAAAAUGCUUGUGUAGGAUUUAAGUUUUAUUAUAUGCUAAAUUGGUUGAUGGUUAGUUGAUGAAAGUGGUCCUUUCUUGGUCUUCCUAAGCCAUCAAGAUGUGAUUAUGCCCAGAAAAAGGUGUCAACCAUUUUUUCUUUGACGAGGAGAGGGAAGCUAUCUUUUGGGCAAGCUUUAUUGAGGUUGGUGAAAUCCAUACACAUCCUUCACUUGCCAUUAGACUUCAACACCAUGACUAUAACACCUCACACCCGACUCGAUUGUUGGAUCCAAAUGCGUGAUGUCACAUUACGUUACCGAAACAACUCAAACUAUCUCAUUUUAUAAUAAUAAAAUUUAAAUCAUAAUUAUCAUAUAAACUGAUUUAAUCAUCAAACAUACUCACACAUAUGCAUUCAUAGUGUUUAGGAUUCAAUUCAUCAUGUUAUGGGGUUAUGCAAGGUUAAAUUUAGAGUUAGGACUCAAAUCCAAACUCAACUAUCAAAUUUCAAUGUUAUGUCUCGAGAUAGAGGACUUCUUGUUUUCAAGAUAGUCCUCAUUUUAUUUUAGGUAUUUUUUCUUCGAUGCCAACAUGUCUCGAGACACUGGAGGUAGUGUCUUAAGGGAAGGUUCUUUGCGUCUCGAGGCCAACCUCCCCUGUUUCAUUAAUUUAGCUUCGAUGUUUAAAUGUCUAGGGACAAGGGUUCUUGUCUCGAGACUUGAAACAGAGCAAAUCUAAUUUAGCUUCAAAGUUUACUUGUCUCAAGACAAUGACCCCUUGUCUCGAUGCUUGAAUAGGAUUGUCUCGAGACUAGCUUGCCAAAUCUUGAGACACUAAACAUAUAAGUUAAAUUAUAAGGUAAAUUUUGUUCUUAUGGUCUCGCGACAUGUUCCUACUAUCUUGCGACUCAAUGGUAAAAUAGCUUUAAAUGCACAUUGUCAUGUGUCCAAACCAUACCAAAUGGCACAUUAAAUAUACCAAAAUUUUACAUCAAAUUAAGGCCAUAAAUUAAACACAUAUAAACACAAUUAAACAUCAUCAAAUCAUAACCAUCAAUGUAACAUCUUUUAAACAACUAAUUUACAUAAUCAAACUGAUAUAAACUAGAAUAAUUAACUACUAAUUAAAUAUUAAAAUUCAUCUUAUAAAACCUUAUAGGCCAAAUACAAAAUAUACCAAAAUUAAAACUUAAGCAACAUGCCUAAAACAACCUAGGUACAUGCCAUUUCAACUCAAACACACACACACACACAAAAGAGGUAAUAAGGCAUGUUCUGAGUUGAGUUGUUGAGUUGGAUGCUGGGCAUUAUAAUCUACAUCUACUAACGUUCAAUACUUGCACAUAAAAACAAACAUAACCAUACGUUGAGUAUCGAAUACUUAGUGGUGCUUGUUGAAACCUUCUUUUUUUUUUUUGAAAAUGACUUUUAUUUAAAAAAAAUAAAAAUGGAGUCGCCACUGAUCCUUUUUAUUAGGUGUAAUUGGGCCACCUCAAAUUUUAACCAUCUUAAUAAAAUAUUAGAUUUUUCUAAAAUGAUAAUUUUUAGCCUACGAAAUCCAAGAAUGUGGGUUCGAGAGUCGGUUAUGUAUGAGGAAGGAUUAGCACCCUCAUAAUGUCCAAAAUUGGUACCUAGUUGGUUACUUAAUAUUGUGAUGUCGAGAAUUGAAAAUUCGAAGCAAAUUUAAAAUACGAUCCCUCUUUGUAUGAUAUUAAAAUAUCGCUUAACUAAAUUAAUUUUCACAAAAAGGCCUUCUUUCAAGUUAAUCGAGAAGAAAAGAUCGUGCCCUGUAAGUUAGGACACGAUGCCUUAAAUCCUCGAAAACAAGAAUAAUCGUCAUUUGAUCAUUACUUAAAUCUCGUUUAUUUUUUAUUUUUAAAAUAGAUAUUCAACUAUUUGGGUUUUAGAAAGAGGCCAUACUCCAUAAGUUAGGAGCACGACUCCUCUAAUUCAAAAAUAAUGAACACUGCCUUGGUUUUCCUUUAAAAUAUUUCCUAUUCAUAUGGUAAAACGAAUGCAACCUUUUAACAAUUGCUUUUUAAUUUAUCUAGGCCUAGUAGUAAAAUGGAUGAAUAUGUUUAACGCGAUACACGGCAUGGAUGUUAGCAAAAUAAAGUAACAUAGUAACGGGUAAAAAUGAAAUGAUGAUAUUAAAAUGAUAAGUAAAUAAAUGAACAAAUCAAUAAAUCAAUAAAAUAAAAAAAUGAUAGGUAAUAAUAAUACAACUAUAAUGAUAGUAAAAAAAACAAUUUAUAGUAAUAAUAACGAUAAUCAUAUUAUAAUUACUAUAAUAAUAAUAAUAAGGGCGAAAAAUGCACAAUAAAAAGGAAAUAUAAGUAACAUGAAUUUUAAUUAUAAAAAGGGUAAAGAAAUAAUAAAUAAAUAUAUAAAAACAAUUCAUAAAAGGUUAAAAUUAAAUAAACCAAGGACUGAAUCGGAACUAAAAUGAAAUUAAAAGCAUAAAUUGUAAUAAAAUAAACAAACAAGUAAAUAAAGGACUAAAAUAAGAAAUGUGAAAAUAAACAAGGCUCAAAUUGGUAAUUAUUCCAAACCCCAGGACACAAGUCAUUCCCCGGCAAAUGAAGGACUAAAUUGAAAACAAGUUAAAAUUAAAUGGUGUAAUCUAAAAAGAAAAAAAUUGAGAUUAGGACCAUAUCAAAAAGAAGGUUCAAAAGUGGAAGGACCAGGACCGCAAAUAGACCACUCUACGAAAACACAUGGAUCCCAAGGGAUCCGGAUCGGGUUGGCGGGCCAAGCUUCAAAACGAAACCGUUUCGGGACUUUUGAACACCGGCCAAAACGGUGUUGUUUAGUCUUGCUUAUAUAAAUCAAAAUUUUUUUAAAUCUGCUUAGGUUUUUAAAAAAAAUUUUGAAACCCUUUCUUUUUCUCUCAGCCUUUCUUUAGGUCCGGCCUUUGGCCCGCCGAUGCUCUGCCAUGGCCACCGAUCAUCGGCGACAACAACCGUCCCCUCCGAUGGCCGGAGUCCAAAAAAACCCAUUUUCAGCCCUUUUCAACCCUAAAACCCGGAUCUAAAGGCAAAUGCCUUUAAAAAAACAAAAAAAAUGAAAAAGAUUUCGGAUUUCCCCCUUUCUGGUCGCGCCCUUUUGUAUCCCCUUUUAUUGAAGCCCAGACGAAACCUAAUGGGUUCGACGACUCUCAAGAUCGAGGGAGACCCCCGACGGCGGCGCGAGACGAAGCCAGGGAAAAGGUUUUAUAUUUAUUUAUUGUUUUUGAAUCUAAAGAAACAAAGUAAAUCACCUUUUUUUUGCUUAAUGUUUGUAUCCGAUUUUUAUUUCAAUCUUCUCAGGCGGUGAGCACGCUGACGUGGUGAGGCGCGGUGCAAAAGGGGAUCUAGGGUUUUUAGCUUUCUGAAAAUAGUUUAGGUUAUGGGCUAUUUGGCUUUAGGUUAUUGGGUAUUAGGUUUAGCAUAUGGGUUGGGCUAUUGGGCUCUUUUUGUUUGGGCCAAUCUAGUUUGUAAAUGGACUUAGACUUUUAUUUUUCAUUUUUAUUUUGUUUAUUUAUUUUUGGUUUCUAUUUGGGUCAGAAAAAAUUGGGCCCUUACAAUGCUAAUAUAAUUCAAAUUCAAAUAUAUAUUGUGUUAAGAAUAAACUAAAGUAAGUAUAUAUAACAAGUAUCAAUUACGUAAAUGAAUACUACUUUAACUUAUCAUAUCAUUUUCCAACUUUCAUAUUCAUUUCACAUUUCAAUAUAAAUUUCAAUGCUUAUUCAUUUUUCCCCUAUUAUCCAAUGAUAGAUAUUAGAAUGGAUACUUAAAUCUGUAUAUAUCAAGUAACUCCACAACCCUUUUGGAAACUAGGACUAUUUUAUUCUGUCAUCCCGGGUUGCUCGACAACGAUGAUUUUCAAUAUUUUUCCCACUAUUUAUUCAACCAUUCUGGAUUUCCCGACAACGAUGGCUACUAAAUCACUAUAUUGAUGACCCUAUGGCAUUCCAACUAUACCCGAACUACGUCUAACAUCGUUUAAUGGGGCAUUAACAUCAUAUUCACUGCUCUAACAUAUAUCAUUAUAAUACCAAUGUCCAAAUAUUCAUAGUCACAUCCAAAGCAAUUUCAAAUAUUUAUCACAUAAUUCAAAUAUCACCAAUCAAAUCCAUUAUUCAAAGUUGAUAGGGAAAGAUGCCAUUAAGUCAUAUUGAUUACAACGACUAAUUAAUCUACGAAAGUAAAUUGGAAUUGAAUUACAAAAGCACAAACCACAAUAGUUAUUUGUGUUCACUUUUUCUUUCCCCUUCACCUUGGACAUUCCAACAUCGUCUUUCACUACGAUCGAUAAUACAGUAUAAUCAUACAUAUCUUAUUUACCAAAAUUUUAUCGACUUAACAAGAAUAUAUAUUAUUUUUAUUAUAUAUUUAUAUAUAAUGUUGAGUAUGCCUCAUAUUUUAGUCAAAUUUGAGAGAUAAUCUCACAGUUAAACUCUGUUUAUUUGUUUCAGUCAAACUCUGACUAGUCUAUAUUAUUUUAUUAUUAUUUGACCUUCAAAUUUAGCCUAUAAUAGGCUCUUUUACAACCUUAAAAAAAAUACACUCAUUAAAUAUUAGAUCUCAUAACACUUUUGAAGAAUUUUGUGUUUACGUUUUGAGGGUUCUUUGUUUUCGAGUUUCGAGGUUUAGUUUUUUAUCUCCAUCUUUUGUACUCUUCAUUCUUUUGUCAUUAUAGUAAAAUCAUCUUUGCUCGUGGUUUUUUUAUCCUCUUUGAAGGGGUUUUUCCACAUUAAAUUUGUGUGUACAAUUUCUCAAUUUCUUCUGCUAUUUUUACUUGUUCAUUGCUUAAUCGGGUUAAUUCCUAACAAGUGGUAUCAGAGUUAGUUCGAUUUUCAUAGAUCAACUCAUUCAGAUAUGGCAGCAACAAAAUUUGACAUUGAGAAGUUCGAUGGUGUCACAAAUUUCAAUUUGUGGAAAGUUCGGAUGAUGGCAAUUCUAGUUCAAACUGACCUGAAAAAGGUUGUUACUGGGAAAAAGCCUGAGAAUCUAGAUCAGACAGAGCGAGAAGAGCUUGAUGAAAAGGCCCCUGUCUACAAUUUAGUUGUGCCUCGCGAAUAAGGUAUUACAGGAGGUAUUGAUGGAGAAAAACCUCAUCCGCCUUGUGGAAAAGGUUAGAAACUCUAUAUGCGACUAAGUGUCUAGAUAACCAUUUAGUAUUGAAACAACGUAUUUUUACGUUUCGCAUGAACGAAGGUGAGCUUCAUAGAGAUCAGACUAGUCAAUUUAUUACUCUUUUGAAUGAUUUAAAAAUGUUGAGGUUAAGAUUAACGACGAAGAUCAGGCUAUGUUAUUAUUGUGCCUUUUACCCCCUUCAUACAAGUCUUUCAGGGAAAUCCUAAUUUAUGGUAGAGACAAACUCUCGUUUGAGGAUAUGAAGGGUCAUUUGUUGAGUAAUGACAAACUCGAAAAUGAUUUUGGUUCGAAUAGCAAGGCAGAUAGGCAAGCUUCCAUUUUGGUAGCAUCAAAGAAGUGAGACAGAAUGUGUCGCUAUUGUAAAAAGUUAGGUCACAUCAAAGCAGAUUGUUAUAAACUGCGAAAUAAAAGGGAUGCUGAGAGUAACGAGGAAGAUGUAGCUACUGCUAAUUUAGAUGACGAAACCAGUGAUGAUUUCUUGUUAGUGUCAAUAAGCGAAAGCUCCGAGCUUGCGUCUGAGUGGAUCCUAGAUUCGGGAUGCUCUUUCCACAUGUGUACAAACAGAAAAUGGUUCUCCACAUACAGUUUGCUUGAAGGUGGAGUUGUACGCAUGGAAAAUGAUUCAUCCAUUAAGGUAAUCGGUAUUGGUACUAUUAAAAUUAGGAUGCACGAUGGGACAAUUAGGACAUUCUUAGAUAUCAGGUAUGUACCUGAUUUACAAAAGAAUCUCAUCUCCUUGAGUAUUUUAGACUGGAGAGGUUAGAGAAUCAACAUUGAGUCGAGCGACAUUAAGGUGUCUCGUACGGCUCUCGUUUAGUUAAAAGGUAAAAGAACCGACAAUCUUUAUAUUAUGACAGGUUCUAUAGUGAUUGGUGAAAUCAGACAUCCCUCAUCUAUUACGAAGUCGAAGUCAACUCAUUUAGAGUGGAGGCAACUUGGUCAUAAGAGGGAAAAAUGUAUGAUCAUUUCGUUGAAGAAAGGCUCUCUUUUGGAUGCAGGUUUUGAAAAGUUAGGGCAUUGUGUUCGUGAAAAUCAGACCCGUGUUAGUUUUGGUUUGACAGUGCACAAUUCGAAGGCUAGAAGUCUUCUAGCUUCUAAGCAUAUAUUCGACUUAGUUAAUUCCCUGCAUAGUUCAAGAUAGUCCCAUGGCAGGCUUUGGCAAAGAUGGAGUUGUGGAAAUACGAGUCAAGGUGGAGAUUUGUUGAGUAUGCCUCAUAUUUUAGUUAAAUUUAAAAGAUAAUCUCUCAAUUAAACUCUGUUUAUUUGUUUCAGUCGAACUCUAAUUAUUUUAGAUUAUUUUAUUAUUAUUUGACCUCAAAUUUAGCCUAUAAAUAGGCUAUUUUACAACCUUAGAAAAUACACCCAUUAAAUAUUAUAACUCAUAACACUUUUGGAGAAUUUUGUGUUUACGUUUUGAGGGUUCUUUGUUUUUGGGUUUUGAGUUUUAGCUUUUUAUCUCCAUCUUUUAUACUCUUCGUUCUUUUGUCAUCAUAGUAAAAUUAUCUUUGCCCGUGAUUUUUUAUCCUCUUUGGAGGGGUUUUUCCAAAUUAAAUUUGUGAGUUCAAUUUCUCAUUUUCUUCCGCUAUUUUUAUUUGUUCAUUGUUUAAUCGGGUCGAUUCUCAACAUAUAAUAUUUUAUACUUAAGAUUUUAAGAACAUAUCCUAUUUUAGGUGUAAUAGUAUAACAAAAGAACAUAUGAUAGUGGUAGUAUUUGAACUUGUGGGAUUAAAAUAUUGUACUUUUAAUUUAUCGAAAUAACCUCUUGUAUAUUAUCUUAACCAAUAAGUGAUUUUGAGAUUUCAAGUUUCUUUUUUGAAUUAUAAGAGGAGGGUAAAGUCUUAAUAGUGAGACGACUAGCAUGAUUCAAACUCAAGACACACCUGAGACGAUAAACACUCUGACCAUUAGGCUAAUAUAGAAAUUUUAGUCUAUAUUAUCCUUUCUUUUGUAAUUUUCAUUUACCUUAAAAUAAUAACUGUUUUUCAUAGUUUUUAAAUUCAUCAAUUUAAAAAUAAUUCUAAAACCCUAAAGAAAGUUGGUCGAAUAAGUAAUAAAUUUAUUUAUUUUAAAAUGCUAACAAGUAAACAAAUACAUUUGAUUACUAAGGAUUAAAAGAAACAUGAUAAACAUUUUUUAUUAAGUAAAAUUUUAAAAUAUUAUACCAAAAAAAAUUAGUAUUUCAAAUACUAUAGAGUCGUAUUAUUCUUGCUUUCCACUAAUAUUUCCUAAGAAACUAGUAUCAGUAAUGAAAAUAUUGCCCAUAAAGACUGCUGGUGGACUGAGGACUUAAAUUCAAUCAAGAGCAUGUCAAAAGGAAAAGAAAAGAGUAAAUAUCACACAUGCCCUCAAAACAUUUGACAUCAAUUAUUUUGAUAUUUACAUUUCGAUUGGUGAAGAAAAAUCGAACUACAUUAACUGGUUAAAUUAAGAAUUGAUAUUGAAUGAUAAAAAAAAUCAGCACAAAAUUUAAUUAGAAAAACCAAUUUUUGAUAUUGAGUUUUUUUAUAUUAAAAUUAUUUUUCUGCAAGUGAUCAGAUUAGAAGUUUAAACUUAAUAGCCUUUUAUAUAUAUUAAAUAUGAUAACAUUAAAUCAAGUACAUGAAGAACAUAUAUAAGCAAAAAUCUGUCUAUUGAAUUAUGUCAUGAACAAAAAUCAAGAGCAUGCUAUGUAUACAUAUAGGGGCUUCAACACAUCAUCUUGCUUUCCCACAUUCACGCAUAUCUAUAUAAACAAGUACAGGGACCUUUAUUCAAUACUUAAAGUCUGCAGCCAUGCUAGACCGACUGGAAGGAACAAAACAAAUUUAACUAAUAAAUUACUACUUUUUAAACAUAUUUAAUAUCAAAAUUAUAUUUAAGAUUUAAUUUAUAUUUUAAUUAAAUAAUUCCGUUUGACCAAUCCAACCGAUAGAAUAAUUAAAUAACUUAAAAUUCACAUCGAUUUGUUACAGAUGGGGCCCUGGGAAGGACCAAAAAGAUAUUUGUCUGAAAGUUUAAAGAUAAAUAGAGGAUAUUUACUUUGUAACACACAUUUAAACAUUUAUCUACUAAUUUUUUAAAGACAUCAACUUUGAAUGAAAAGAAUCAAACAAAAGACAAACCAAUAUUGCUUUUAAUCUAUUUGCAAAUCUCAUUCAAUGGGCCCUACAUGCAUUUUGUUCUAUAAUUGGUUUCAUGCAUUUAUGUGGUCUUUUUUUGACUUAAAAUCACCAGUAUUUUGUUUUUACCUAUAAAUACAUGCAACGAUUGCAUUCUUAUCCUCACUCAAAUUCUGUGCCAAAUUUGAAGAGCAAACCAAAAAAAAAGCGGCAAAUUAAGCUUUCGAAUAUUUGCUUUUGUUCAAUCCAAAUGGCUUCACAAGUUUCUCAAUUGCCUUCUUCAUCACCCCUUACUUCCAAUAAGGAUGAAAUGCGCCCCAAAGCUGAUUUUCAGCCUAGCAUUUGGGGAGAUCUCUUCCUCACUUGUCCUAAAAAGGUAUACUAAUAUAUGAGCAUAUUGACAUAUAAUGUUAACAUAUUAUUUGUUUAAUUAUUUAGUGUUUCAGUAUGAAUAAAAUUUGCAUUAUUUUGAGCAGGAUAUCAAUGCAGAAACUGAACAACGCCACCAACAAUUGAAAGAAGAAGUGAGGAAGAUGGUUGUGGCACCGAUGAAUAAUUCAACCCAAAAGUUAAACUUCAUUGAUUCAGUACAAAGACUGGGUGUGAGUUACCAUUUCACAAAAGAGAUCGAGGAUGAACUAGAGAACAUCUACCAUAACAACAACGAUGCCGAGAACGACAUCUACACUACAUCUCUUCGAUUCCGAUUACUCCGAGAGCAUGGAUUCAAUGUUUCGUGUGGUAAUUAUUGGAACAACAUAGUGCUUUUAAGUUUUAUGACUAUAUAAUAGCAUGGAAUGUUUGAAAACGAUAUUUUGUUUCGGGUGAUUUGAUCGCAGAUGUAUUCACCAAGUUUAAAGAUGAGCAAGGGAACUUUAAGUCAUCUAUGACAAGCGAUGUUCCAGGAUUGUUGGAACUUUAUGAAGCUUCCUAUUUAAGGGUUCAUGGGGAAGAUAUAUUGGAUGAAGCAAUUUCUUUCACCACCAACCAUUUAAGGCUUGUAGUAGCAUCUUUGGAUUAUCCUUUAUCCGAACAGGUUUCUCAUGCUUUGAAACAAUCAAUCCGAAGAGGCUUGCCAAGGGUUGAGGCGAGGCACUAUCUUUCAGUAUACCAUGAUAUUGAAUCCCAUAAUAAGGCUUUGCUGGAGUUUGCAAAGAUUGAUUUCAACAUGUUACAACUUUUGCAUAGGAAAGAGCUAAGUGAGAUUUGUAGGUAUGUGUUUUUGAAUAUUUUUCAUCCAUUUCUUCUUUUUUCACCUUUUUUUUUUCAAUUUAUAGGAGGCUUCAUCCUCAGUAUAAGGGACGGGUUGCAAAUACUAAUAUUCAAAUCUUAAACGUAUUAAAUUACAUUAGUUAAAAGUGAAGACAUGAACUUUGGACUCAUCUUUUUCACCUAUUUCAUUUAACGUAUGAAGAUAUAUAUAUAUAUAUAUAUAUAUAUAUAUAUAUACAAACUUGAGAUUUCCAAUAGAAUUAAGAAUCUAACAAUUUACUCUUCAACAACAUGAAUGUGAAACUAAUAAAAACUUUGAAGAUUCAUUGUGCUAAUGAGGUUUUUUAUGAUAUAUUUUUUAGGUGGUGGAAGGAUUUAGACUUUCAAAAAAAGUUGCCAUAUGCAAGAGAUAGAGUGGUUGAAGGUUAUUUUUGGAUCUCAGGAGUAUACUUUGAGCCCCAAUAUUCACUUGGUAGAAAGAUGUUGACAAAAGUGAUAGCAAUGGCAUCUAUUGUAGAUGAUACAUAUGACUCAUAUGCAACAUAUGAUGAGCUCAUUCCCUAUACAAAUGCAAUUGAGAGGUUAGAUUUCUUUAGUUAGAGAUUAACAUUCAGUUAUAUAUUACGAGGAAUGAUUGAAUAUAACGUUGAAGUUGGAUUCAGGUGGGAUAUCAAAUGCAUAGACCAACUUCCAGAAUACAUGAAACCGAGCUACAAAGCACUAUUAGAUGUUUAUGAAGAAAUGGAACAACUGAUGGCUAAGCACGGAAGACAAUAUUGUGUCGAAUAUGCGAAAAAUGCGGUAUAUACAUCAAGAAAUAUUUAUUUUAUACAAAAGAGAUAAGACCUUAGCUAAAUUUUAUAUUUGAAUAAACAAUUAACUUAAAUAACAUUAAAAUCAUUUAAAUAUUAUUAUCGAAUUUGACUUGAUAUUAGUGAUAAUUGUUGGGAUUUUGUUGCCUCAGAUGAUACGACUUGCUCAAUCUUACCUUGUGGAGGCCAGAUGGACUCUUCAAAACUACAAACCAUCAUUUGAGGAGUUUAAGGCUAAUGCUUUGCCAACUUGUGGUUAUGCCAUGCUUGCUAUAACAUCUUUUGUCGGGAUGGGAGAUAUCGUAACACCAGAGACCUUUAAAUGGGCUGCCAAUGACCCUAAGAUCAUUCAAGCUUCCACAAUUAUUUGUAGGUUUAUGGAUGAUGUUGCUGAACACAAGGUAUAAUAAUAUAUUUAUAUAAUCACAAGAAACUAAGCUCUUAACUCAAUAAUUGAAUGUCUCUGUAACGAAAUCAAAAAUGGUUUUUUAUCAUGAUCUAAAACCAUUAAAGUUUAAUAUUUAUAUAUAAAUGUUUAGUCUUAAAUUGAAGAAUAAGAAAAAAAAAAAGAGUUUCAUUUUAGGGUUACUAGGGAGGAAAUGUUGUCAAAAGGUAAUUUAUCAUCACUAAACAAAUGUAGUUUAAUAAACUGAUAGAUUUUAGUGUAUAUAGUGAUAGAAUAAUUUUGAUUUUAUUACGGCUGCAGUUCAAGCAUAGGAGAGAAGAUGAUUGCUCAGCAAUUGAGUGUUACAUGGAAGAAUAUGGUGUAACAGCACAAGAGGCAUAUGAUGUGUUCAACAAGCAUGUUGAGAGUGCCUGGAAGGAUGUGAAUCAAGAGUUUAUGAAACCAACAGAAAUGCCAACAGAAGUUUUGAAUCGUAGCCUAAAC